GUUCAGUCUACUAAGUAUUGUCAUUUGCUGAGAGAAGGUGUGUGCUCCAGAAGGAGUUUUAACCUGGAGGAUCAUUAACUCUUUCAGUCAGUUGGGCGCGGCGGUGGCUCUGCGAGUUCGUCCUGGAAGCGUGUGCCCAGGAGGGUCAGGGAGGAGGAGUGGAAUCACUUGUUCAUGGGGGACCACUUUGAGAAGGGCCAGCAUGCUUUGCUCAAUGAAGGAGAAGAGAAUGAGAUGGUAAGAUUCUAGCCACAUUCUCCUCUUCGCAUUCUCUUUCCCCAAUCUCUGGGACACACACAUACACACACACACACACGCAGACAUGUGCAUUCAUACACACUCUUACACACUUCUCUGCACUUUGAUCUGGGGUUACACAAGAAGAGGUAAUGUCCACAAAAUCUUUCUGUCCUGUAAAUGUAACCUUUGACUGUAGAAAUUUGUUAGAAUGAAAAUAUUGUGUUCAUUUUAUCAAGAAUGUUUUCUUUUUAAGUAAAACAGAAAGGGAGAGAAACACAAUGCCACUUGAUAAUUCGUUUUUUUUUUUUUGUUUUUGUUUUUGUUUUUUUUUUGAGCCUCAUCAGUAUAGCAAGUUCUGUUCAAAACUUCUAAUGAUGCCAGCGAUCCCUGAGGUGAGGAUCAGGGUAUUCCCUGAUAGGAAGGAGCAGGCAUCAAUAGAGAAGCAGCAACACAGUUGGGUCUCUGACCUUCUUCUCUUCUCACGUAUCUUGUUCGCCUAGACUGUUGGACAGGGAAGACACAUAAAAUAUUAACAAUUAUCAGCCUACACACAUUUCUGUUUACUUCUAGAAUUUUACUUGUAGCUCCCUAGUUACAGAGAUUGCUAACAGAAAACUUUCUGUAGUUCAUUGUCUCUUUUAUUUUAGAUGUAUUUCCAUCUUGGGAACUGUAGGAAAAUCAAAGAUGACUCUCAUGUUCUUGCUGAAUUUAAAGUUAUAUUUCUCAAUUACAAUGUAAUCAAGAGAGAGUUAGAAAUGCACACUUCUGUUUAAUAAGGUCGUUCUGCUAAUUGUGUAAGCACAGUCUUUUAUGCUGCUAAUGAUAUAAUUAAAAUGUUCAAAUGUGAUGCUCUCAUCCUAUAAUAGCAUUUUAUCUUCCUAGAAUUAAUAUAUAAAUAACAAACCCCAAAGAUAUUUACUUAAAAUGUUUUGUCGGUUAAUUGCUUGAGCCUUGACUAUUAAAUUCUUUGUUUCAAAACUGGUCUUUCAAGUUUAAUCUGCUUACCUGUUCCUAUAGCAACAACAUUUUUUGGACCUUCAAGAGUAGAUCCCUUCUUCUAUCAAAGCUGAAAGAAAAAUUAUAAGAAAAUAAAAGGCACCUAAUUUCAGAUGGCUUUCUUAACCAUAUCCUUACUUCUUUCAGAUUUGGCUGCUGAGUGACAGCUGCCUUCAAGGCCCUACACAAAUGUCACCAGAAAUGGGUUUUUUGGCCCUAUGCUGGAUAUAUCCUUAUUUCUCUGGAGUGUUUGCUUAAGAGAAAUAUAUUCUAUUCCUCUUCAUAUUAAGCUGACAAUUUUAUCCUCAUCUUGAGCACUCUCACAGAAGGCUGAGACUCUAUAAUGGUGUGGCUGUCCCCCCUCCCUCAUUUACAGACAUACCUGCUGUCCUCUUGCCUACUCAUUUCUGUUCUUGGACAAUUUGUAGUUGAAAUGUCAUUAGGGAUCAUAUUUUUUUUCCUCCAGAGGAUAUUCAUAGACUUAAGAUAUCUACUACCUCUUCCCUGGUGGUACAGAUUUCUCCCAACAAAGCAGCUUUGUUAGCAGUUCAUCUUUCUACAGUCACCAUCAAUGCAUCAGGGGGUCAGCCUAGUUUUGUGUGUGGCUGUAAGCCUGGCCAGCCAGGAGAGCGUCUUUGCUGUCGAGGGGACACUGUGUUUUCUGGUGAGGAGUCAUUUGACCAGUAGUCUCAGCAGAGGUGCAGCAUUAGUAUGCUCUGGUGGCUCCCCUGUUCUGCCUGCAGAAACCUGGCCACCUGCCUGGCGCUAUUUGACACCAAAUCCCUUUCUCACUCCUCCAUCCUUUGCCCACAGCAAUGAAAUUCAAAAAUGAUCUAGAUCACUUAAAGAUAUUCCACAGGUUUUUAUGCUGAGUUUGAGUUUAUAAAGCCUUUUCUUGGGGAGUAGCUAAUUGAGUUUUCACCAUGACCCUGGAAAGUAGGUAUCAUGAUCCUCAUUGUAAAGAUGGGGAAAUCCAUCCCCAGGGAAUCUGCUCGGGGUUGCAUCAGUCAGUAAGUCCAGGGACUGGAGUGCCAUGUGGAUAAAGCUGGUAGCUGUGUGUCUCUGGAUCUGCAUUGAAAAUUUUCAGUUCUUUCUGGGGAUACUGUGUGCUCUUAACACAUUUCUUCCCUUAAUGAAAUGAGGCUGAGGAGACCAUCACCCAAGCUCACCCAGGGUCUGUUUUGGUACAUGUAAUUUGUAGUUCCUCAUUGAGUCUGUCUUCACCAACUUCCAGGUUAGUCCUUUUUAGGAAGCCAUGAUGGUCUAAAAAUGUGUCACACCAAAGCAUUUGCAGUUUCUUGACCUGUUCUUUGGACAUUGGCCAAAUAAUUUCUCUGAUGAUACGAAAUGACUUCCAAUUUCGAGAGAAAACAAUAUUCUGGGGCUUAGCCUGUAUGUCAAGAAAGAACAGGAAUAUUCCAGGCCUAAAGAUGGCUGGAGUUAUCUUUUAUUCUAAAAUAAAGAAAUAACUAAAGAGCAACACAGGUGACCUGAAUGAAUAACAACCACUAUGUGAAGCAUAAGACAGGUAGGUGUCUUAUGAACUACAGAAAGUUUUCUGUUAGCAAUCUCUGUAACUAGGGAGCUACAAGUAAAAUUCUAGAAGUGAACAGAAAUGUGUGUAGGCUGAUAAUUGUUAAAUUUCCAAAGGAAAAAAGAAUUUGUUGGAAAGAUGAGGAAGAGAAGGGGAGAAAGUGACCUUUGAAGAAGGUUCAUCCAGAUGGCUGCUUUGGAAAGGCCUCAGAUAGGAGAUGCCCAGAGAGCUCUGUGUCCAGCCAGAGACCUGGUUCUCACUAGCCUUGGGAAGCCACUUGCCUGUUAUAGCUCCAGUCUUCUUAUCUAUCAAGUAGGAGUGGUCCUUACCCUGCCUGUCUCACAGGGUUCCUAAGAGGAUCAACCGGCAACAUCUAUGUGGAAGUGUUUUGAGAAAUAAUGUUUGGAGUGUGAGCUGCUAUUGUCUGAACAAAGGUAGGAGGAAUCAGAGACUCCACAAUUACCCAAUUGAAUGAAUACUACUCCACAAAAUGAGGUCAUCCCUUCUCAUUAAAUAAGAACAAGAGGAAUAUAUAUUUUUAUUCUCUAUAGAGACCAUUUAUAAAUGGAGAGCCUCUGACUUACUUUGUAAUUGUCUUGUGUAGUGCUCAUUUAGAGAAAACACCCAUCUUGGGACUCAGUUUCUUGAUUUAUGAAGUGAGAGAAUCAGACUAUUUGGGAGUUCAAAUCACUUUGAAAUCUAAUGUCUCUUAUUUCUGUUAGGAAAGGACAUAUGAACAUUAAUGUUCGUUUCCUUAUGACAUGACUGAGUGGAUAUAUCAUGGAUUGAUUAGGGCAAACAUUGUUCACACUAAUAAAACCAUGCUGGGAAGCAUUUUGUGCCAGCAAGACUUCUCUUAAAAGUAAUAAUGCCUUGGAAAUUUUUUUCUUUCUUUCUUAGGUUUUAGCAGAUAAGGGGAAAAAAUUGUGAAUUUUUUUUCUGACUAUAAAGGUAACAUGUUUAGUGUUAAAAUAUUGAAAUGGCAAAUAAGGGUCUAAAGAAUGAAGUAGAUAUGAUUCAUGAGUUUACAUCUGGACACCAUCAAUAUUACCAUAUAGGCAACUCUUCUUCCAAACUUAAAAAAAAAUACAUACAUACGAUUCACCACUUUUUAAUUAUUUUACUACAAAUUAUUAUUAUAUAAUUUUUUUGAUAUUAUCUAUAUUCUUUUAUUUUUUGGUAUCAGAGAUUGAACCCAGGGGUGCUUAACCACUGAGCCACAUCCCUAGCCCUUUUUAUUUUAAUCUUGAGACAGGGUCUCAGUAAAUUUCUUAGGUCCUUGCUAAGUUGUUGAGGCUGGAUUUGAAUUCUUAGUCCUCUUGCCUCAGCCUCCUGAGCUUGCUGGGAUUAUAGACAUGUGCCACCGUGCCUGGCUUAUGUUCUCAAAAUUUUAUCUGUUGUGCCUGUACCAUGAAAAUACUGUGUAAUGGUGUACAACUGCACAUCUUUUCCCAACUCCAUAUUCAGAGAUAUCACAUUUGUAGUUUCAAAUUAAUAAUAUUGGUAGUGAUUAUGUCCUAGAAAUCUGUGCAUCCUACACUAGGAGAAACUCCAUUCUGCCCCUCCUUGAAGGACGGUUGAUAAGUAUUUAUCAACACGCCACUGAGAAUGUCAUUUCCUCAUGACUGUCUCUCCUCCACCCCGAUAUAUACCCAAAUACUAUGUAGAUAUUAUCUGUUCUGUUGUACCAUGCAUCAUGGCAAAACCAAAUAAAAUCAAUCCCAACCUUUUCUUAGGAAAUGCAAAUACAUACUCACAAAUAGUUAUUUUUAAAUAAAGAAUGGAAUCAUUUAUCUGAAUAUUUAUUUCUUUAUUUAGUGGUUCUUUGGACUGACGGACCUCAUGCAUGCUAGGCAAGCAUUCUACCACUGAACUAUACCCCUCGCCCUUGUACUCCUUUAUGUUUGAAAGCUGGCCUUCUCAUUACACCUAAAAAUGUACUAUGGAUCUAUUUUUCUUUUGAUAAUUCUAGUGCCACAUGGCUUUAAAAAGUUGUAUUUGGCUGAACUGUGCUGUGUUGAAUUUCCUAUGUUGCACUUUUCUGUUAUUUCUAUUUUUGUGGCUGGGAAGGACAACUUUGUAUGUGUAUUUUUAUAUACUUGUCCUAUUGUUUUCUUAAGAUAAAAGCCUAGAAAUGGUAUUGUUGCAUUAAAGGGGAUGCACACUUAAAUUUUGAUUGAUACAUAAUGCCCUAUUGCUUUGCAAAAUGUGGUUGUAACAGUUUGUACUGAGUAGCGAUCCUUUUUUGCCAAAACUUCCUUUCUCUUCAGACUUGCCAACGUAGAACAUUUUCAAUCUUUUUAACUCCGGCUCAUCCGUAUGUGAAAAUGAUAUUUUAUGGUUGUGCUAUAUUUGCAUUUCCUUAAUUGGAGGUUAAAUAUGUCUACAUAUUCAUUGCCACUUCUAUUUUUUGACUAAAAUCUCUUAAGUUGUUGCUGAUGUUAUACCAAGUAGGAUUAUGCUAAAUAGUUAAUUUAACGUCUGCAUGUUUUAAGAGAAUAGAAUGUGAUCUAUCUUGUUUUGUUUUACCAUGAUGCAGUCUGUGAACAAAUGGAUGAUAUCCAAAUAUGAUAUUAUUAUUGUAUUUGGACAUGUGUGGAGAAAAAAUAAAGGACCUCAUAGGAAACAAUAUGUUUGGUGGAGUGCUGGGAAAUAUUUAACAUAAUUAAUCAUGUUAAAUACUGGGCAGCUAAAAACUAGUGAAUGUGGAAAAUCAAGAGAUGCUGUUUCAACUUCCAGGUCAUUUCUGAGAACCUAGCACCAAGUUAGUGUUGCAAGGGGCAUGUGAUGUGCCAGUGGGUGGUGUGUGGUCUCAGUCCCAUUGGAAGUCCUGCUGUGCCAUCUGCGUGAACUAGGGACAUUUGUCCUCACUGAGUUGUUGGCUCACUUUGAUAGCUGAAGUUUGCCUUUUCUUCUCUAACACCCGGGAGCAGAAGCACCUCCCCCACCUCAAUAGCCACUUAUUUAUUAUGCUCAGUGAGCACCUCCGAGUUGGUUGCCAGUGUUAAGUAGUGAACCCGCAGAUCUCAUAGUGGAGGGAUUGUGUUCAGGCUGAGACAUUUUGUCAGUUGAAAUGUUCAGGAAGCUGGGCUACUGGCCAAGUCUGAUGUCUUUAUUCUCAAUUCAUUGCUGCAGAACUCCCAUGAAGUCGACUCAUCUUUGAUAUAAACUCUUGAGGAGUGAGAUUUAAUUGCUUCAGGAGGACAAGGGACCCUGCUUGAUUCACCUUUCUGUGGCCUUCUCCUUCCCUUUCCUGCUCCCCUUGGAACUGUGCACAGUACCUGGAACAGACAAGCAGGGCAUAUUUGACAGUAUAACUGCAAGCUCCAAUAACCUGCAAUUUUACAUUAGGAGAACAGGCCGAUGGCCGAGUUCAAAAGUAGACCUGGUUUGAGUAAUUUUACGACAAAGCUAGAAAAUUUUGUUAUUUAUUUGGAAUGGUCAAUCAUUCUACGAAUUUGUCAAUUGGCUUUCCUCUCCUGCAAGCGUCAACAAGGCUUAUUCUUCAGAGUUAAUUAGCCGUACAACACUAUUUUUCUAUGAGACACUUCAUUCUAUCCCUUCAUCCAUUCAUGUAUGAACUCAACAAAUAUUUAAGAAACCUCUCCUCUGUGCCAGGAGGCCUCUGGGCUAACCAAGGAGGAUUUUGAGUGAAUAACAAACAGCUUCUGUUUUCAAGGAGCUCACAGCUGAGAGGGCAAGACACAGUUUGUGGGGCCUAGUGAAAAAUGAAAAUGAGGUGACCUUUGUUCAACAAUCAUUAAGAAUUUCACGAUGGUAAUAGCUGUGCAUUAAACUAAGUGGAGGGUCCUUCUGAGUGCAGAGCCCUGUGAGACUGCUCAGGACUCAUGCCCGUGGAACUGUCCUUGCAAGUGGAGAAGCCUUGGGUGCAAAUGUAACGGUCCAAUGAUGUGGUGGGUGCCAUUGUGGAAGUUGUGCCUAUGGAGUUGAGGGAACAUGGAAGAAGGAACAAUCAACUCUGAGUAAUCUUCAAGGGCAAAGAUGGCAUUUAAUUUCCCCAGAGGGAUAGGUAAGAUUUUAAAAGACAUCUGAAUGCAUGUGCAUUUUAUAUAUAUUUUUAAUGAUUCUCAAACAUUGGUCAAUGAAAUAAUUGUACUAGAAUCAUGUUGGGAAUAUAUAAAAAUAGAUCCUUAGGUCCUGUUGUAGACUUACUGAAUUAGAAUCUUUGAUGGUAGACAUCACUUAAUCCAAAUGGUGGUGACACCGGACUGGCUGACAGUGUGGAAGCCACUGGAAGAUCUGAAAAAAGAAUAACAUGGUAGGCUUUGCCUUUCUAAAGAAAUGAGGUGUGGAAGCCACUUGAAGAUCUGAAAAAAGAGUAACAUGGUAGGCUUUGCCUUUCCAAAGAAAUGAGGUGCGGAAGCUUGGUUGGAGGAAUAAAGAUCAGUAAGGAGGAGUUUGAAAUAGCCCAGGUGAGAAAGUCAGGACUAAUCCACAGAUUAAUCAGAGAAGAUGAAUAGAGUAAGGACUUGAGAUAUUUAGAAGUUAGAAAUAAAGAGACUUCCUAAUCCAUAGACUAUGGAAUAAGAGUGAUGGGGUGAACAGGAUGAGUAGUUACUAAGGCUGUCUCCAAGGCUCCUACCUUGUUCAAUGGGAAAGAAUGAUGCUGCCCUUGGGUCUCAGAGGAAAGCAUAGAAACAGGGAGGGGAGUGGGGAUUGUUAUAGUUGCAAAUUUUAAUGUUUAUUUGGGUCAAGUCCAGGAUAAUAACUAUACACAUAGUAAUGUAUUUAAUACUCUCAACAACUCUAUGGGAAAUUAUCAUCUUUUUAUAAAGAUGCAUGGGACUGUUAAAUGACAUACUCAGGUUCAUUUGGCUAAGUAAUGUCAGACUAUGGCCUAAGUCCUUCCCUUAAACAAUGGUUUACUGCCUCUUGGUUUUGCAAAAUUUUGGAUGUGCUAUUUUUUCUUGUUAAUGGUGGAAAAAACAGCAAGGUGUAACUGAAAAAAAAAAUUCAUUAGGACUGAGACCAAUGUUUUCUUGUUGGCUCUGCUGUCAUUAAUUCCAAUCAUGGUCACAUUGCUUGGACUUUGCCUUACUUACAAGGUAGAGAUAAUAAUAUCUUACUGGUUUGAACCAGGCUUAACGUCUGCUACUGGUUUCUUAAGGUCCUUUCCAACAUACUCACAAUUUUUAAAAAUUUAAAAUAAGUACUUAAAAUCUCUGUGUAACAUUUUAAGAAGGCUCAGUGAUACUGUUGAUUUUUUUUUCAAGAUACUGUGAGUUUUUUUAGUCAAGGAAAGAAAAAACAUAUCUGGAGACAUUAUGUUAUGUUGGAUUAGAAAUUUAUGGCAGUUGCUGAGUACAUUACCCAUGAAUGAAGGAAUAAGAGUAUUGGUCGUGGUUAACCAACACAGAAUUAUAUGUGUCUUCAGCCCAUAAAAGACAAAUCUUCAAAGGAGUUGGUGAUUUGGUCAUGUAUCCAGAGCAGAUUUAUUCCUGAGUUACAGUUUAAAGGUUUUGUGAAGACUAAAGACUAGCCAGAGUGGGACUGCCCACCUAAAUGACCUGCAACUAUUUCCCAGUGCCCAUCACAUGCACCUUGAUGAGCUGCCUGAAACGGCCUCCUCAACUUCACCCUCUGCCUAAGGCUACUCUUACGGACAAUGAACACAGCUAUGCCCUGGAUGUCUGCUCAUCAAAAGAACAAAGAGGAGGUCCAGAUGUCCUGCAUGCUUUCCCGGAGAAAUAUGUCCUUCAGGCCAGGACACUCUCUGACUUCAAUGGGUGCAUGCACAUGGCCCUGCCUGAGAUUAUAAUCACCUUUUACAUUUACAGAAUCAAUUAGAUUUUUGGGAGACCCAUAGUUGGAGGACUUUAAAACUCUGAUACUCAAGUUUCAGAAUCAGUACUUAGAAGAUGACACAGUGAGGUACAAUAAGUAUUUUGAGGCCAACUCCAAACCAAUAGUAAUGAAAAAUUAAAUUUGGGUAGCUAAGUGGAAAAAUAUAAGUGGGGUUACUUCUAUCUGGUUUUUAAUGGAAAAGUAUAAUUGAUGAUUGUUUCAGUACACUCCUUCGACUUGGAAACACCAGGUAUCCCAAUUAUAUUUCACUUUAGAGGAAAAAACAACUACAUGAAUACUUUUGCUUUGGAGCUGGCCUCAAAACAUGGAUCGAUCCUCACAAAUUCCUCUUCUAUGUACUGAUUCUGAAACAUUGGGGCAGGAGGUCAGGUCAAAGUUUCAAAGUACCCCAACUAUGGGUCUCCAAAAAAAAAAGGAUACUGUAAAUGCUAAGGUGAUCUCCAAAAAAUUAGAUACUAUAAAUGCUAAGGGCUCUGCACAAAUACCCACCUAAGCUAAUUCUUUUAGCAAUCCCAAGAGACAAGUAUUCACUUUCUAGUUUCUCUGACCACUCAAAUGUAGUCUGCUCUUCCCAGAAUAUAAAAUACUGUGCUCUUUCCAGAAUAUAUUAUAUACUUUUGGUGGAGGUUGAGGUUUUACUGUGCUGCUCAGGCUGACCUCCAACUCUGAGGCUCAAGAGAACCUCUUGCCUCAGUCUCCUGAGAACUGGGAUUACUGACACCUGACAUCAUACCUGGUUAUGCACUUUUUUAACCAGGAGCAUGUCUUCCCUGAUCCCCACAGUCAGCAUCCUGCUCAUCCAUCAAAACCCACCUCCAAUCUGAUUUCCUUCACAAAAUCACAAGGGAACCUGUGGUCAUACUUCCUUUUCAGUCUAGGUUUAAAUUCCUGUUACUGAUAUUUUCAUCAAGUUUUUACAAGACUGUGUGGCAGCUUUUUUAAAAUUAAGUUUUAUAUUAGAGUCUUGUGUUUAUUCUUCUCCCCUAAUAGCCUGUGAGUUAUUGUCAGAGACAGGUGUCAUGUUUGUGUCUGUAUCUUACGUGUUUACUUAAUGAAUUCCUGAUAAGCUGAAUUGAAGAUUUUUGUGCAUGUAUUACAAUAGUUUCUUCUUUCCUGACCCAACUGGGUUGUCAAUCCUGAUUUUACAAAAGAAGACACUGAGAAACCACAUAAUCUGCCCAACACUGGUAUUUAAGAUGUAGCAAAAAUUGAACCUAGGUAGGUUGACGCCAAAGCCCCUAUUCCUAAUUCUUGAAAGUCAACUGCCUUCAUUUCUUUGUGUUUGCUGUGGCCUAUUCUUGCGUUGACCAUGACAUAAACUGUGUGUAUUAGUUUAACAGUUAAUGUUGAACUUGUGUGAAACAAAACCCACAGGCCUGUUUUAAUGAAAGUCAUGGGUCUCAGAUCCUUUGGGCAUGGAAAUGAGGAGGGGCAGAGGUGCUGGAGUUCCAUGACCUGGAUGCCCCUUUCUGCACCACAGAAGUGAACUCUUAUGCUCCUCAGCUGCCUUGGUGGCAGCCUCCUGACUUGCUGGCGGAGAUGGAGAGGGUUAUUUAUUCCAGACUUGGUCCUAGACAGUCUGUUGCACCUGGGUUCCAGGGACUGGUGUUUGGUAGCCUCUAGUUCAUCCAUCAACCAAGCCUGUCUUACGUUCUGCAGCCUCGAUGAGGGUGUCUUGCCUCUCCUCUGCCUUAGGCUUGACUUCAAUGCAGCAUCUGAUGUCAGGAGGGUAAAUGGCAGAGCAGUUUGGCUUCUGUUCUUCCUCCAGCCAGGGGAUUUUUGCCUGUGCCCUGGUACAGCUCAUUCUUUUUAGAAGUACUUGAACUUUGCCCAUCACUGCCCCCAUUCCAGCGGUUAAAGCACUGGAGAGAAGGGUCCAGAGAAGCAAGAGGGAAUUUGAGCCUCUCUGCCUGCGGAAGCCAUUAGUCACCUCCUUUACAGCUGUGCAGUCAAGGGGACCUCUGGGCUGUGUCCUCCUUCGUCCUCAGGCUCCUUUCAUGGACUCUAGUUGGUGUCUGGCGGGAAGGGAUUCUGAGUGGAUGUGAACUCUUUUGGGGUCUGAAAACUUCUGAUAUUACCAACAUUUGCUGUCAACUACACUUGGCCUUUGUGAAAUUGUUAAAAUUUUAGCUGAUUUCCUCUUACCCACUUUAUAGCAGCCACGACUCUCCCAUCAGAAGAUGAAAACAUUGUUUACGCUCUCUCUUUUUGGAGGUGCUUGUCCUUCUUUGGAAUUUGGUUUACUUGAUUGACUUGAAAUCUUAGUUAUCUGAUGGGCUCAAUGAAAUUCAUGAUUUUGUGGGUUAUUUGUGGGUUAUUUUUUUUUUCCCCUGGUGGUUUGGGUGAGGGUGAUGUUCUUUGUAGCAUGCUACAUUUAGAAGCAAAAGUCUCUAAGAGAGACCUUUGAAAAUCAGAUAAACUGUGUUUAAUCAUUAUCCUAACCAGUUAGGUAACAAUAACUAUUAAAAGAGUAUAUGAGAUUUGUCUGGCAGACUAUUUUAGUGAUGUUAUUUUGGAUAAUUUCAGCAUAAUUCUCAUGUGCUUCCUGCUCUUGCAUCUGUAUCUUCUUUAAUUUUUUUUUUCUCAAGGAAUUUAUGUUAGGUUGAUAGAAAAAUAUUUAAAUGAUAUGACACCACAUUUUAUUUUUUUGCUGAAACUAGGAACACUUUAGCUGUUAAACAGGUGAAAAAAAAGCACAAGUUUUUUUUUUUUUUUUGAUUCAGUGUGUCAAUUUCAUACCUACAGUUGACUCAUAUUCGGCAGCUACAUAAGUUUCUUAAUUACCAUGUUAUUAUCUGACUCUUACCUAAGAAAAUUCUUGUUUUCUGUUCUCUCUUUCUCUCUGCUGCCUGUCUAGCUUUUAGCAAACUUUCAUAUUAGUUAGAACUUUUUUGGUUACCAGGAACUGAAAAAUUCAACACAAGUUAUCUUAGGCAAAUCAAAGUCAAUGUGUUGGCUCAGUUUGAAAAUCCAAGUAUAUCCAACUCAUCUUCAGGCACAGUUUGAUCCAGGGGCAAAAAAAGUGCAUCAGUACUGGCCUUUCCCCUUUUUAUUUGAUGUACCUCUACCAUGCUGAUUAUAUUCUCAGACUCUGAUAACUCUAGGAUGACAUGACCAACCAUCCCAGUAGGAAGAAGGACUUGCCUUUCUUUGAAGAGUAUCAUCCCAGUACUCAUUUCUCAUGGUCUCUGAUUGGACCAUGUUUGCUCUUCCCAUUCAGCGUGGCCUGGAGAAUGCUGUGUUUGUAGUCACAUGGCCAUUCUUGGAGUGGGUCAGAGUCAACUCUACACGAGGCACAUCAGCUGGGAUUAGUAAAGGAUGUAGUUUGCCAUAAGAAAAUGGAGGCGUUGUAUACCAUUACCUGUAGUAAAAAAAAAAAUGGGGUUGAGCGGUCUAAACAAGAAAUAGGAACAGACAAACAGGCACACAAACGGAAUUUCCAAUCUGAUCAUCAAUAGGUGAACUGGACUUAAAUACUGUUAAAAUAGUCAGGUACCACAGGGUGAUUUUCUUUACUGGAAAAAAAUAUAUAUAAUGUAGCUUUCAUUUGGUAUUGUAAAUAUCUGUGUGCAGACAGAAAACAGCUCUUCAAAAAAUAUAUUAUUUAUUUCUCUGAUUUUAAAAAUGAAGCAUGUUCAAUGAUUAAAAUGUGCACAAUACAGAAGGUCAUGUUGUAAGGGAACAGUCACCAUGAUGUCAACAUCCAAUGCACAGAGGGAUAGUAGGACUUUGAGGGAAGCAGCUUUCUUCCAGUUCUUUUUAGGCCCACACUUUUGUUUCAACUAAAUUUGAAAUCAUACUCCAUGGUUUUAUGUUGUUUUUCUCUCUGACUUAAUAUUAUUACAUAUAUUCUUGCCAUAUUACUAAAAUUCUUAAUAAACUUUAUUUUCAUGGCCAUGUAAUAGUACUUAAUAAUUGCCCUUUUGUUAUACACAGAUUGCUUUCAGUUUACUGCUAUGAGUCAUGUUUCAGUAAACUCCUCUGAGUAUGAAUCUGGUCUGCAUUUUGCACAGGCUAGAGAAAUUUACUUAUUUAUUAUUAUUAUUAUUAUUUAAAUUUAUUUUUUAGUUUUAGGUGGACACAAUAUCUUUAUUUUUAUUUUUAUGUGGCAUUGAGGAUCGAACCCAGUGCCUCACGUGUGCCAGGUGGGCACGCUACCACUUGAGCCACAUCCCCAGCCCUUACUUAUUUAUUUUUAACAGAGAGUCUUUCCCAGUGUCCUAAUUUUAUACCUUUUGUGCACUAUACUUUUGUAAGGUUGCUGGGGCUUUUAAUUCCCCUUCAGGAGCAGAGAUCUAGAUGAAGGUAGAACUCAUCUCCUCAUUAGUGGUUCAACUGCUGGGAGGGAUGGGAUUUUGAUACUCAAAAUGCUGUCUUUGCCAUUCACCCUCCUGGAGAAGGACGGGCUGGGAUUGUGUGAUAGGAAACUGUGACAUUUCUAUCUAAAGAUUUUUUUUUUUUAAGCAGAAGGCACGUAUUCAUCUAAAGAAUCCAUUCUGACCACAGCAGAACAUGGGGCAGGGGCAACAGGGUACUGUCCACUAACUUGGGACCUUCAGAUUUCAUUUCAGGCUUCUAUGUGGCUUCUCCCUGAGGUUCCUAUGCUAGUGUGAAUAAAUAAAUGCUAUAAUUCCUAUUAUUUUUUUUACCAAAUUCUGUAUCCUGUGUUCAGAGGGAUAGCAUUUAUUCUUUAACAAAAGUUUGAUUGUCAGAUAUUUCAAAUGUAUGGGGGAGAUGCCAGGUAUGGCGUUACAUGUCUGCAAUCCCAGCGACUCAGAAGGCUGAGGAAGGAGAAUCGCAAGUUCAAAGCCAGCCUGGGCAAUUUAGCGAGGCCCUAAGCAACUCAGUGAGACUCUGUCUCAAAAUAAAAAUAAAUAAAAGGGGUUGGGGAUGGGACUUGGUGGUUAAGCUCCUCUGAAUUCAAUCUCCAGUACCUCCCGGAAAAAUGAUGGGGAGAAAAAUCCAAUAAUCCUCUUUCUGAAAUUUCACAUAAAGUCUCAGUGAAGGAAAAAAAAAAAACAAUAAUUUUGAAUUUUAACACAUUGAGCAACAUUAAAAUAAUUAUCUACACAUUGUCCAUGUAUAAAUUAAUCAGCCAACUGAAAAAAAUAGCAAAAGAAUAUGCAAAUAAAAGGAGGACAUAUUUUUAAAUGAAUCUGUAAUGGCUUAUUGAUCAGCUAUUCACUGCUAUAUCCCCAAUGCUUAGAAAAGUACCUGAUAAUAGUAAGUAAUAUAUAUAUAUAUAUAAAAUGAAUGACAAGCCACUGCAACUGCUUAUAGCUGCAUUCCAGAAUAAUAAUUGCUUAAUAAAUACUAUAAAUUUAAUAAAUACUAUAUCAAAUAGUAUAUAAGUCCAAAAGUAAGUGAGAAUUAGAAUUUAGAGAAAGAGUUGACUGAUUUAUCACACUGCACUUGUUUCAUAGAGUUUCAGGUCAGAAGUCUCUUCAAAGUUUAUCUGACCGUCUUUCCCCUUAUUUCUCCCAUACAAAAUUUACCACAAGCAAACCAUGUCCUUCUAAGGCAGAGCUGACUAUUCAAAACAACCCUCUUCCUUCUGUUGAGUUGACAUAUGGUUCAUUAAUCUCAAUUCAUUAGUCCAAACUCUUUUGCCUUCUGGGGCCACCUGUGUAUUUAAAUAUGGUCCUCAAACACCCUCAUCUCCAUGCCUCUGGGAAUCUCUUCUUCAAUCCAAACCCUCAGUUUCUUCAGCUGCUCUCCACGUGGCACAGUUUCUUUGACAUCGGAAAAUCUUAGAAAGAUAUUCUUUAUGACACUUUUAAGAAGCCAUCCUCUCUUGGUGUGUUCUGCCUUUGAAAUCCACAGGGAUUUAGUGACAAAGGGGUACCUACCAGGAAGAGCAAGAUAGGGAUAAUUGCCCUUUGGUGUGACUAAGGUCACUGUCAACAAGGAGUCCAGACCGGUGAUGCACCUAGGGGUUAGCCAGAUUCUCGCCUUAUAAUAAUAACCAUAACAAACCUCUGUUCCCGAUUUACUAAGUCCUACCUCAUUGUGAUUGCUAAACACUUUCAUGGACUAUUUUAUUUUAAAUUCUCAAUAGCCCUGUUAGGUGGGUUACUAUCAUUACAGAUGCAAAGACUAAAGCUUUCUGUUCUUCUCAACUUCAGGAAUCUGGAAACCAUGGGUGAAAUACAACCCCUCCCCCAUUGUUUUUGUAAAUAAAAUUUUGUUGGAAAACAGCCCCUCCCCACAUUUAUUUACACAUCCUCUUCUUGUUUUGCCGCACACAGCUGGGUUGUGAGAGAGACACCAUAUUCCCCCAUUUGGCUGAGAAUAUUCUCUAUCUGGUAUUUUUACAGAAAAAGUUUGUUGACCUCUGCUCUUUUCCUCUCUGGUCUGAUCUCAGCAUUAUUCUUUUUAUUCAUAUUAUCUUAAUCUUGCCUUUAUUGCCAUAGUAAACUUGCUUGUAAGAGUUGUUCAAAUGUUUUCAUCUGCAAGUGCAGGUUUAGCGCAGUGCUGAAAGUGCCUGGGCUGGUGGUAUUUAAGGAUUUGCACAGGCUGCCGGAGGAAUCAAUAGGUAUUUAGGAGCUGCUGUAGCUUUGCUUAGAAGCUUGGUUUCUUUUUUGUAUGGAUUCUUUCAUUAAUCAUCCAUUAUGUGUCAGGAACUUCUUCUUCCGUGUCCUUUCCAUUUCUUUCUCCAAAUAGACUGGGUCUGUAGGAUCUGUCUGAUUCAUUUACUCACAUGUCCUUCAUUUUGAAGUUUCCUGGAAUCUUCACCUGCUGGAAAUAGGUGCUGCUAUUUGCAACCAAGAGCCAGUGGAUCCUCAGAGCCCCCAAAGCAUGAGACUUCUGGAGAGAAAUCACUUAGAAAUAGGGGAGUCUACCUCACUCAAUUUCUUUUUCUUUUUGUUGUUUUGUAAGGAUAUCUAGAGAUUCACAUGCAAUUGCAAGAAAUAAGGCAAGGAGAUACUGUUCACACUUUAUCCAGUUUUUUCCCCCACAGGUCACCUCUUAUAAAACCAUAGUUCAAUAUCACAACAUCAGGAGAGUGACACUGACACAGUCAAGAUACAGAACAUUUCCGUCACCACAGGGAUCCUUCUUUUUGUCUCACUAUGUCUUUAUACCUACUUUCUUCCUCUCUGUACCCCUUCCUUGAUUUCUGGCAACUGCGAAUCUACUCUUUUUUUCUAUGAUCUUGUCAUUUCAAGAAUGUUAUAUAAAUAUGAUCAUAUAGCAUGUGACUUUGGAAAUGGAUUUUUAAAAACUCAGCUGCGCUAGAGUUGGAUCCAGGUUAUUGUGUGUAUCAAGUUGGUUCAUUUUUAUUGCUGAGUAAUAUUUCAUAUGCCAUAGUUUAUUUAACUAUGCACCCAUUGAUGGAUAUCUGGUUGUUCCCAAGUGUGGUUUGUAGACAUUUUCUUCCUAUCGUAAGUUUUCCUCUUUCUCCUCUCCACAGGCUCUUUCACAAAGCAAAACUUUUUUCAUUUUGAUGAAGUCCAGUAUAUCAGUUUUUCCUUUUAUGGGCAGUACUUAAGAUGUUUUUGAGUUUAAGAAUUAUUUGGCUAGCUAUAGAUAUUUCUUUUCUUCAUUUUUUUUCUUAGUGUUUUAUAUUGUGUAAUCCAUUAUGAAUUAAUUUGGGGAUAAGGUGUUUGAGACUUACGUUUCUUUCUACCUUUCUUCCUUCCCUCCCUCCCUGAUUCCUUCCUUUCUUAUUUCCUUUCAUCUAUGCUUGUCCAGUUGUCUGAGCAGCAUUCAUUGUAAAGACUGUUCUAUUUUUUCUUCACUGAGUUGCUUUGCCCAUGUGUCAAAUUGGGUAUACCUGUGGAAGUCUGUCUUGGUUUUCUACUCUAUCUCAUUGAUUUAUGUGCCAGUGCUAUACAAUCUUGAUUAUAGCACCCAUAUAAUUAGUUUUGAAAUCAAGUGGACUGAUUGCUCCCACAUCUUUCCUAUUUUUUUUUGAAAUUUUUAUUGAUUAAAUUUUAUUGAUCUUUCUUUAUACAUCUCAGAAUUAUUUAUAAUCUAUAAAAAUAUUUAUAGGAAUUUUGAUACAUAUUGCAUUGAAUCCAUUUAUAAAUUUGGGAAAAAUUAAAAUCUUUACUAAAAGCCGUGUUUCCAAAGCAUGUUUCCAAACCAUGAACAUGGAACAUCUCUCAAUUUAUUAAUUCUUCCUUGAUUUCUUUCAUCAGUAUUUCAAAUGGGGAAAAUAUUCAGUCUCUCUGCAUUGAAUAUGUUAACUGUAGGUUUUUAACGAUGCUUCUUGUCAAGUUGAGAAAGUUCCCUUUUAUUCCUAUUUUUCUAAGUGUUCUUAUCAUGAGUGAAUAUGAAAUUUUGUCAUUUUCUGCAUUGAUUGAUAUGAUCAUGUGAUUUUUCUUCCUUACUCUGUUAAAAUGGUUGUCUAUUAAAUUAAUAUUGACUGAAUUUAUUUUAGCUGUUGAAACAGCCUCUCAUCCCUAGAAUGAACCCCACUUAGUCAGGAUGUAUCGUUCUGUUAACAUUGCUGAAUUCUCUUUGCUAAUAUCUGUUAAGGACAUUCGCUUCUAUAUUCCUGAGGGAUGUUGGUCUGCAGUUUUCUUUUUGUUUUUCUUCACUGUCUUUGAUUUUUUUUUUAAAUUAGGGUUAUGCCAACUUCAUAUAACGAGUUGAGACAUGUUCUAUCCUAUAAUUAUCCUGGAAGAGAUUGGGUUAAAGUGUUGUUAGUUCUUUAAAAGUUUGGUAGAAUUUUUCGGCAAAACUAUCUGUUGUUUUUUUUUUUUUUUGAGAAUUUAAAAAGUGCAAAUUCAAUUCUCUUAGUAAUAUAGAGAGUUAUUUAAAUUAUCUAUUUUACAUUGAGUUGUAAUUUGUGUUUUUCAAGAAAUUGGUCCUUUUUUUUAAGUUGUCAAAUUUAUACAAGUAGAAUUGUUUUUCUCAUUGAAAUGGUAUUUCUUUUUAUUUUUUUAUUUAAUCCAUGAUAUUGGUAAUUUUUUGUUUCUUUUUUUCUCUUGCUAGUAGUUUAUCAAUUUUAUUGAUCUUUUCAAAGAAGCAUCUCAUUUCUUUAUUGAUUUUUCUAUUUUUGUUUAUAACUUCAUUGAUUUCUGUUCUUAUUAUUCCUACUUUUGGUCAAGUUUCUCUUCUUUUUCUAGAUUCUUAAGGAGGGAUUAUUGUUGGGAAUUCCAUCUUUCCUAAUCUAUGUAGUUAGCGCUAUACAUAUUGAUUUUGUGUAUAGCACAUUUCAUGUUAUUUCACAGUUUGAGCGGUGUCUCACAAAUUUGUUAUGUUGUGCUUUUAUUUAAAUCCAUUUCAAUGGAUUUAAAAUUUUUUCUUAAAAAUUUCUCUUUUACUCAUGAAUAUUUAGAAAUGUGCUGUUUAGGUUCCGAGGAUUUGGAGAUUUCCUUUUAAAUUUUUGUUACUGAUUUCUAGUUUUAUUUUCUUAUGAUUGGAGAACAGUUAGUAUAGUUUCAACUCUUUUGAAUUUGUUGAGGUUUGCUUUAUGGCCUAAGAUGUGGCCUAUCUUGACAUAUAUUCCACGAGCACUUGAAAAGAAUGAGUGCCUGCUGUUGUUGGGUUGAGAGCUCUAUACAGAACAAUUUAACAAUUUUGGUUGAUGAUGUUCUUGGGUCUUCUAUAUUAUUGUUCAUUUUCUGUCUAGUUGUUUUAUGAAUCAUUAAGAAAGGAAUGUUAAAGUCCUAAACUGUAAUUAUGGAUUUGUUAAUUUCUCCCUUUAGUUCUAUCAGUUUUUGCCUGACAUAUUUUUUCAGUUGUCUUUGGUGCAUACUCAUUUAGGAUUGCCACGUCUUCUUGGUAGAUUUAACCUUUAUAAUUAUAUAAUGUUACUCUCUGUUUAUUGUAACUUUCUUUGUUCUGAUGUCUGUUUAUUCUACAUCAUAGCCUCUCUUGCUUUACUUUAUUGACUAAUGCUUACCUGAUAGAUCUUACAUCUUUUAAUUUCAACCCAUCUAUACUUUUAUGUUUGAAGUAAGUUGUACACUAUGAGAGUUGGGUUAUAAUAUUUUAUAAUUUAUACUGAUGAUCUCUGUAUUUUAAUUGAUGAAUUUAGGCUAUUUAUAUUUAAUGUAACUAUUAAUAUGCUAGAAUUUAUGUCUACCCUUUAAUUUUUGAAUUUUGCUUGCUCUGUUUUAUUGUUUCUAUUUUCUUUUUCCUGCCUUUUAUGGGUCUCUAGAAUAAUCUUUAGAGUUCUGUUUUGAUUUAAGUAAAGAGUAAUUGCUCUAAAUAUUACAUUAUAUACACAAAAUAUAAAGUUUUCUGGUAUAAUCUCUUUAACAGAUUAAAUAAAAUUUAGACAGCCUAAUCUUUUUAUCCUAUUACCCUCCCCUUUUGUAACUGUCUUAACUAUUCUAAGUGUAUAUUUAGAAACACAUCAAUCAUAAAUUAUAAUAUCUAUUUUUGUUAUUAUUUUUAUUGCAAUCAUCAAAUUUAAUUUAGAAAACACAAGAGGAGAAAAAAGCCUAUCUUUAAUUUUGCUUCUCAUGUUCUUUCUUCCUUUCUGAUAUUCCAAGAUUCCUUUUUUCAUUAUUUCCUUUUAUUUGGAGAAUUUUAUCUAGGUUUGGUGUACUGGUCACAAAUUAUCUUAGUUUUUCUUCAUUUGAAAAUGCAUUAGUUUACCUUUCAUUUCUGAUGGAUACUGUGACUGGGUAGGGAUUUUGCAUUCACAGUUACUUCUUUUUUUCAAUUUGUUUUUUUUAGAUAUGCAUGGCAGUAGAGUAUAUUUUGACAUAUUACACAUGUGUGGAGUAUAACCCAUUCGAGUUAGGAUCUCAUUCUUGUGGGUGUUCAUAAUGUGAAGUUACAUUGGUUGUAUAUUAAUAUAUGAGCGAAGGAAAGUUAUGUCUAAUUCAUUCUACUGUCUUUCCUAUUUUUAUUCCCCUCCCUUCCCUUCAUUCCCCUUUGUAUAAUCCAAUAAACUUCUGUUCUUCCCUCCCAUCCCCACCCCUUACAGUGUGUUAGCAUACACAUAUUAGAGAGAACAUUUGGCCUUGGGUGUUUUGGGGAUUGGCUUAUUUCACUUAGCAUGAUAGUCUCCAGUUCCAUCCAUUUACCAGCAAAUGCCAUAAUUUCAUUCUUCUUUUUGUCUAAGUAAUAUUCCACUGUGUGCAUAUACUACAUUCUUUAUCCAUUCAUCUGUUGAAGGGUAUGUAGGUUAGUUCCAUAACUUGCCUAUUGUGAAUCGAACUGCUAUAAACAUUGAUGUGGCUGCAUCACUGUAGUAUGCUGAUUUAUAAAGAACUAAAAAAAUUUAACACCAAAAAAAAGUACCCAAAUAACCUAAUCAAUAAAUGGGCAAAGGAACUAAAAAGGCAAUUCACUGAAGUGGAAAUACAAAUGGUCAAAAAAUAUAUGAAAAAAAUGUUCACAGUUAAUUCUUUAAACAUUUGAAGUGUAUUGUGCUACUUCCCUCAGAACUUUGUGGCUUUUGGUAAAAAAUAUGUAGUCAUUCAAAUUGUUUUCCCCUUUGAGUGUAGGUCUCUGACUGCUUUUAAGAUUUCUCUUCUUUGUUGUUAGAUUGUAUGGUAAUGACUAUUAUCCUUCUCUCCAUGAAUUUUUUUUUUUUUGUGUGUGUGUGUGUGUGUGCUUAUUCUUUUGGGGAUCCAUUCAGUUUCUUGAAUUUGUAAGUUUAUGUGUUUUACUAAAUUUGUAAGUUUUCAGCCCUGAUUUUUUGAGUUUCAAUUAUUUCCUCUUUCUUUUCUCUUUCCAGGAUUCCAAUGACGUAAAUAGUCAGAUGUCUUGUUAUAGUACUAUAGUUUCACAGGUCCCUGAGGCUCUGGUCAAAAAUUUUAAUGUGAAUUUUUCUCUGUAGUUUAGAUUGGAUAAUUUUUAUUUUUCUCUUUCACACCCUGAUUAUUUCCUCUGUUCCUCUAUACUGCUUCUGAGUCCAUCCACUGAGUUUAAAAAUUUCAGGUGUUGUACUAUUCAGUUCUAAAAUUCCAUUUGCUUAUGCUUUAUAUCUUAUAUUCUUUCUGAUGUGUUCCAUUUUAUUCAUUUGUUUUAAGUGUGCAUGUAAUUGGAGCAUUUUAAUUCUGACUACUUUAAAAUCUUUUUUUUAAUAUUUAUUUUUUAGUUGUAGUUGGUUGGACACAAUACCUUUAUUUUAUUUAUUUGUAUGUGGUGCUGAGGAUCAAACCUAGGGCCUUGCAUGAGCUAGGCAAGUGCUCUACUGCUGAGCCAUAACCUCAGCCCCUAAAAUCUUUAUCAGAUAAUUAUAACAUGUCUGUUACCUCAGUGCUAGCAUGUAUGGUUUGUCUUUUUUCUUUCAGUUUGAGACCUUUCUGGUUCUUGAAAUGAUAACUGAUUUGUUCAAAUCAAAACCUGAAACUUCUGGGAAUUAUAUUAUGGGACUCUGGAGCUUAUUUAAAAUUUUCGUCAUAGUUGGCUUCUGUUGACAUUAUUCCAGUAGGAGAAGAACAUGGUGAUGUCCUAUUAUUACUAACUGGUGGGAGAAGUUCGGGCUGUCCCCUCAGCCUCCACUGACAUGUGAAGCCUGGGUGAGGGGCUAGGUGAGAGUAAAAUGUACGCUGUCCAUUGGGCCUCCACUGACAGCUCCCUAACUGUAAGGAUUAGAAGUGCUUCACUGCUGUUCCCAGAUGGCUUCCUCUGAUGCUGUGAUUGGGGAGGGAUGGGAAAUCCUGACUCUACUAGGUUUCCUCUGACAACAUCCCAGCACUGAGAGAAAGAGAAGCCUUGUUUAGACUGGUGAGGGUGGAGGGCCAGGCUUCACAUGGUCAGAGGGGCAAGGGUACUCAAAUCAAAGUCCUAGCUUCCUGUUCGAUCUUCUCUGACACUAUCUUGCAGGGGAGCUGAAGCACAGUUUUUUAGCCUGUCUUUGGUGGUAAGUGGGGACAGGUCACACUUUUUCUGUGGUGUUCGGCUGAAAUAGAGUGGUUAUUGUAUUGAAGUUUUCUGUCUUGCUAGCUGCCCCUUUUCUGCUCUUUUGGAUAAUGAGAGCUAAUUUUUCUUGUGGUGUUUUGUUUCUGUUUCCACCCCCCUCCUCCCCCUCCCCCCUCCCCCCCCACUCUGUUCUGUUUCUGAGUUGCCAUCUUCUUCAGCUCUGAGCAUGGUAUAUGUAAGGCAGAAGAGAAACCCCAGGAACUGACCACUAUGUCAUUCAUUGCUUAAUUUCUAAGGUCACUCUUUCUUCUCUCUACUAGGGUCAUCUUCUUAAUUUUUUUUCCUACAUAGCAUUCUGGGAUUUUAGUGGAACUUAUUGGGAGAAACAGGAAAUACUAAAUGUAUGUUUUCAGAAGUGGAAGUCUAGUGAGACUUAUUUAUAAUAAUUUUGUUUUGUUUCUUUAUUUUUACUUAUAAUUUUCUGAAAAGCACAGAAAACAAUCAGGAAAUAAGUAAACAUCUCUCUUGAUUCUUUCAUGUUUGAAACCUGAUAUAUUUUCUUCCAGCUUUUUUCCUGCAUACAAUUUCUUCUAUAUUACUGAACUUAAGUUAUAAAUGCAUUUUUCACUUUGAUACAUUAUAAAUAUUUCCUCAUGCUAUUAAAAUGUAUUGUAAACAUGAAUUUAAUGAUCGAACAGUAUUCCGUUUUGUAGAAGUGCCAUAAUUCACUCAGUCUUUCUUCCAGUGUUGGGCAAUUGAUUCUCCGCAGUGUAUGUGUGUGUCUUACACUUGUAUAUAAAAUAUUUGGAGAAUUAUACCUUUUCAUUUCAGAUUAUUUCUUUAAGAUCGAUUCCUAUAAACAAUGAUUGCAUUACUCCACAAAAAGUUAUGAACAUUUUGAAGGCUGUUGAUAAAUUUACUAACUGCUUUGUGCAAAGUUGUUGCUACCUUAAGAAGGUUCCAAACACUUUUGUUUAAGAGUGCCCCUGGAACUGCCCUCUGGCCAGCUUUCAGUGCUUGCCAAAUAUCAUGGCCAAUUUAAUAGGUAAAAAUAACACCUUGCUCUUAGGCUUCCCUCCAAUCUUUUUCAAAACCAUCCAAAGUUUGGUGUAAUUCAGUUUUCCAAGGACUUAUUUUCUGUAAGUUCCUAUUCUGGAUGCUAAAGUGCCAUGCUGAACAUAGAGGUAAAAAUGGCAUGUUCUUCUCACUAAGUUCCAAGUAUAGGAACGGUCUUGGCUAAUAUGUGCCCAGCACAUGCCACCUACCGGGCCUCAUGUUAGGACUUUAUAGAAAGCAUUACUGGAUCCACAUCAACUCUUUCACAAAAGAAAUAUCAUCUGUCCAAAUGAAAGAGUGUCCUUUCCUUUGCUGUAUCCCACAGCAGCUCCCAGAUGCCAUUGUGAUAAGGAUCAAUUGAAGCAGUGGGAAAUGUUCUGGUCCUCUGGCCCUACCCCGAGAGACUGGGGGUAGCAACCCAGGCAUCUUCAUUUUAACAUAUGUCGAUGUGAUCCUGAUGCACAGGGUUGGUAGUGCCAUCUUUAGGCCUAUCUGUCUAGAUAUUAUGACUUAGAGGUAGCAGCUGUAUGACAUUAAGCAAAGGCUAAUUUUCUCACAGUUAGCAGAGAAUUUAUUAUCUAGUUGUGGAAAGAGCUGUUUCAGCAGUUUCUGGUGCCUGGUUUUGGUGGGAGAUUUCAACCCUUUAUACUCCUUUAGUGAUAAAGAGGUUACCCCUGGGGAAGCUUUGGCUGCUCUACAGGUAAAUGCACGGCAAUCACAGUGAGUAAGGGGUAGGACUCCACACAUUUGGACCACAUCUACACAUCCCUGUAAUUCCUCUUGAUAUAUCCUCCAGCAGAGACCUCCACAUCAGCCAUCUUUUCUCAACCUUAGACAAUACCCAAACUAUAUAAUUUGAACAAAUGCAAUGAGGCCCUGCAUCCAGGAUGCUGUGCAGGUUUAAAAUAGAUAAAGGUCUGUCCCUGCCUCAAAGAUCUGACUCUUUAAGGGGGACUCGUACAUUUUAUUCAACUAGUUGAAACACAAGUUCUAAUGUAAAUCGGUACUAUGGAAGUUCCUCAAAAUACUAAUAACAGAACUAUCCUAUGAUACAGUAAUCCCUCUCCUAGGUAUAUAUCAAAAGAAAAUGAAAUUAGUAUGUCACAGAGACAUCUGCACUCCCAUGUUAGACUGCAGCUCCAUUCACUGUAGCCAAAGAAACAGAAGCAACCAAAGUGUCCAUCAACUGAUAAAUGGAUGAAGAAAAUGUGAUGCAUAUAUGUAGUGGGAUAUGAUUCAUAUUAUUCAUGAAAAAGAAUAGAAUCCUGUCAUUUGCUUCAAUGUGGAUGGAACUGGAAAUAAGUGGAAAAAAAAUAAGUGAAAAAAAGCCAAGAACAUAAAAACAAAUACCAUGUGUUCUCACUUGGUAAAAAAAAAUGUUGAUCUCAUAGAAACUAGAGAGUAGAAUGAUCAUUACAAGAGACUGGGAAGAGUAGGAGGGAGGGAGAACAGAGAAGGGUGGGCUUACAGGUACAAAAAGGAUUAAGUUCUAGUGUCCUCUAGCACAGUAGGGUGACUAUAGUUAAUUAUAAUUUAUUAUAUCUGUUGAAAUAGUUAGGCUUUUGAAUAUUUCCAACACAAAGAAAUGAUCAAUGUUUGAGUUGAUGGAUAUGCUGAUUGCCCUGAUCUGAUCAUCACACAUUGUGUACUGUGUUGAUUGUCACACUGUACCCCAUGAAUAUGUACAAUUAUUACACGUCAAUUUAAAAAAAAAACCACAAAUUCUUUACAGGAGGCAAAGUGAUUAAGGUAAAUACUGUCAGCAUAUUUAUCUAGCCCCUCUCUUCCUUCUUCUUUUGUUUAUUGAGCACUUGUUAUGUGCAAGUCCCUGUUUCAGGUAUUAGGCAGACAAAAGCCUAUAUCUCAAUCUGUGGUGGAGAAUGUGGUGCAGCAGGUUUAUGCUGUGAUAACAGCACACACAGGUGCUGUGAGAACCCAGAGGAAGCUAUAGCCAGCUUCUGUGUGGCUUUGGUGGAAAAGUGCCAUUUGAAAAGAAUCUCGAAGGAUGGACAGGAGUUUACUGGCAAGCCAAGAUAAGGAAAAGGAUGUUCCAGGUUAAGGAGACACAGUGUCCAGGGGUACUGAGAUGUAAAGAACAAAGCACAUUCCGUUAGGAGAAUUGAAUGCAGCUUGAUGGAGCUGGUGUGCAGGGUGUAUGUGGUGUGUGGUGGAGUGGGACAGGGAGAACAGAGAGUUAAAGUAAAAAAAAAAAUAAAUAAAAUGGGAAGUUUAAAUAGAACUUUACACACAUCCUAAAGGGAUUUAAGAGUUCUAAAUACACGGUCAACUUCAUUUGUUUGUCCAAACUUUCCAGGAAUUAGUACCAAAAACCUCACAACCCUCAGUCUUGGAGAAAUGGGCACAAUUGGUCACUGUAACAGGGAAGUGAAAAAUCAGAACUUUAUUUAGAAAGCUCACUUUGUAGUGGGGUGGACAACCUCAGACAGAGGUGGAGCUGGACGCAGAGGCUCUUGUAGUGAUUCCAGUGAGAAGCUGAACUAGUAAGGCAGUAGUAUCAGGGAUGGAGUAAGGGAAUGGAAUGUCAGGGCUUGAGAAAUAUCUGGAAGAUAAUCAAUAGACCUUGGACUAAUUAGAUGUUUGAGAAAUGAGGAGGAGAAUAUUAAUGGAAAUUCCUAGAUUUCUGAGUCACACAAAUGAACGCAUAAUGGUGUGGUAGUGAUUCAGAGAGAGAGGGGGGAGGGUGUAGAUAAUGUUUGAUUUGGUACUUGUGAUUAAUUCUGAUGGAGGAGGUGUCAUGGACAAAGCUUCAUCUGAAUAGUACGCUUAAAGAUUGCUAACAGAUCUCCCCCACCCCAGGAGACAGAGCAAAAAAGUGGGGCUUGACAUUUGAAAAGCAAAAACAAAACAAAAAACAUUUAAAAAAUCUGCUUGAAUAAAAGCAGAGAGAAAGCAUAGAACAUCUGGAGGAAUGGUGAGUAGUUAUGGUGACAUAUUCAUUUUAAGUGUAGCUUUGCCUGAUUUGAUUCCAAUUAGACACAAAGAAAUGACAGAAGAGAAAGUUAUUGUGUUGCUCUAAAUGCAGGAUGAGGCCUGGCUAUGGAACUGCUGUAUCACAGAUGGCCCUAGGGAGUUUGCAGGAAUAUUAAGAUAGUGGUCUCCUCCAGCUACAAACAACUGUAUUCAUUCACCUGAUCUAUGCUGUGCAAAUAUCAUCAUUUUUCUAUGAGUGCCAUUAUAUGAAAAAGAUCUCAAGCACUAUACUAAGGAAAUUCCUUCUUUUGUUUGCUUUAGAUUCAAACGUAAAUUGACAUAAAAUCACAUGUAAAAUUUUUAUCAGAAUGUAAAAUAAUAAAACAAAAAUUAAGUUCCUUAUCAACAAAAACUUGGACUACUUUUUGCCAUUCUCCUGUGGGAUAAAUAUAAUUAUUCUCAAACAAAUGAAUAAGCAAACAAACAAUAGUCAUGAUGAUGAAAUCAGCUAGAGAUUGUACUUGUCCACUGACUUUAUGGAGCAUCUGAAAUCAGUAUGUCGAGGGGUUGGAGGGUGAGCAUAGCUAUGAGCAAAUGAACCCCUGCAGAACAGCCAGCCCUUUAGUGAAUGGGUUUCAUGAAACAUGGAAAGAACUGGAUUAUAAGAACCAUCAAAAGUACUAUGCUAAUCAUGAGAGUGUCUGAUAUUUUCUCCCUGUCUUUUAUUGUGAAAUACAGUACUAUAUAUUAUAUAUCAUGCAUCUAUUAAUAUUAUAUGAUCUACCUAUGCAAAACUAUAAAACUAUGUAAAGCUUAAUGGAUAAUCAUAAAGUGAACAUCCAUUAGCCAUUAUAUAGGAUAAGAAAUACAUGAGUGCCAAAUUAGUUAGGAAAAAUCAAUUGUACUGGACACUAGUGGGUCCAUUGUGACAUUAGAAUAUAGUAAGGGUUUUGGAUGAGAUAAAAUAUUCACUGAUCUAGAAAAAUAGAGGCCUUGGAAUAAAACAGCAGAUUAUAAAAUAGCAUUUACAGUGUGAUUUAAUUUUGAUAAAAGAAAAGCGGAGUAUGAACUAAGUUGUUAAUUGGGGUGAUCUCUAGGUGGUGGGAAUGUCAAGGUUUUUAAAGAAUAUUUUUCUGAUCUAUAAAAUCUACUUGUAUUGCUUCUAUAAUAAUGAAAGGUGUAUAGGUAAUCUCUGAGAUAAUUAUAAUUAUCUGACCCAGCAUUUAAUGUCCUGAAUUACCUUGGAUCAGGUGAGUAGAGAAUUUUUAAAAAGCAGAAAUUCUGGUCUUCUUUAUGCUCCACAAUUCUCCCAGGCAAUUUUCCAUUCUUUUGUUUUUUUGAGUACCGAGCAUUGAACUCAGGGGCACUUGACUACUGUGCCACAUCCCCAGCCCUAUUUUGUAUUUUAUUUGGAGACAGGGUCUCACUGAGUUGCUUAGUGCCCCACUUUUGCUGAGGCUGGCUUUGAACUCCCCAUCCUCCUGCCUCAGCUUUCAGAGCCACUGGGAUUACAGGCACAUACCACUGCACCAAGCCACAAUUUUCCAUUCUUAUUUAUUUAUUUAUUUAUUUUUAAAAUUAUAAUUUGUUAUAUAUGACAGCAGAAUGCAUUGCAAUUCAUAUUAUACAUAUAGAGUACAAUUUUUCACAUUUCUGUUUGUACACAAAGUAGAGUCACACCAAUUCAUGUCUUCAUACAUGUACUUAGAGUAAUGAUGUCCACUUCAUUCCACCAUCUUUCCUACCCCCAUGCCCCCUCCCUUUCCCUCCCUCCCCUUUGCCCUAUCUAGAGUUGCAAUUUUCCAUUAUUGACAAGUCAUUCACUUCCUCUUUACCCAUUCCAAUGUCACCAGUUUCCACUUUUGUCAUUUAAUUUAAAUUCUCCAGAAGAUAAAGGGGCUUCUUUUCUACCAGUUAAAACCGGAACCAUGCCUCACUCAGCUUGAUGGUGCCAUCUGAAGGCUUUCAAGGAUUCUUCUUCAUGUCUAUGCUCAAGUCCAAACACAGUUAGAAAAAUGACUCAGGUCCUCUUGGCACACUGGUUUAUUUUGAUGUUCGGUUGACUAAUAUGGCAUGAUGGCUAGGCAGUCAAGCAGUGGCAAGCUUCUUCCCAUUCCUGGGGCCAGUGGGGCUUCCUGCAUGUGACAUGUUCUUGUCAGAGACUUUCUGACAGUUCUCAAGCAGGUGGUCUCCAUAACAUGUUAGCACCUAUUUGUACAAACAGUGCAGAAGAAACCAUCCUUUAUUUUCCCCUAAAAGAAUGCCAGAGUUUGGGCUGGAUACAAUUGCACAGGCUUGUAAUCCCAGAGGCUUGGGAGGCUGAGGCAGGAGGAUCACAAGUUCAAAGCCAGCCUCAGCAAAAGCAAGGCACUAAGAAACUCAGUGAGACUCUGUCUCUAAAUAAAAUACAAAAUAGAGCUGGGGAUGUGACUCAGUGGUCAAGUGCCUCUGAGUUCAAUCCCCAGUACAAAAACAAAAAAUUGGAGUUUGAAUGUUGAAGAUCACAUGGGCAGCUUUAAAAUGCAGGUAGGGAUAUUCUUGGAAGAGUCUUUGACCUUGGAUGUACACCUAUGAGAGGAUUUCGGUCUAUCACAGGGAUGAUAUACAGCACAUUCCUAGUGCUAUAAGAGCUACAAGUAUCACAAAAUCAUAUAAUUCAUCCCUUUCUAUUGCAGCUGGAGAAAUGGGCCCCAGAGGUGGGAGCGGGUGUUUAAAAGGAUGAAAAUUCACAUGAAAAUCUAAAGUUCCCAUAUCUAAGCCAGGACAGUUUUUUCCCUGAUACUAGUCAUUGCAAACUUAUGGACCACAACUCUUUUUAAAUUAUUGUUUAAUUGUACCUUUAUUUUAUCUUUUUAUUUUUAUGUGGUACUGAGGAUCGAACCUAGUGCUUUGCAAGCGCUCUACCACUGAGCUACAGCCCCAGCCCUGGACCACAACUCUUGAUAAGUCUUAGAGUUAUUGUUGUGGAUGCACGGACUCACAUGCCCAUCAAGCAUUGAUAUGGGCCCCAUGAGCAAACAUAGAUUCCAAUAAUUUGAGAGUAUGUGAGUAUGUGGCAUUUUUAAAAAGGUUAUAUAAAGGUGCAAAAAUAUGCAAAACCAAUUUAAUUAUAAAUAAAAACCCAUGUGAUCAUUGUCUAAGUCAGAGAACAACACCACUAUCAUUUCAGGCUCUCCUGGGAUGCUAGUUAAUAAUUCAUGCCCAUUGCUCUUCUCCAAUCUGGAGACACCCUUUCACAUGACUUCUGUAAUUAUCAUUUCCUUGCCUCUCAAAUGUCUUUCCCAUCUACAUAUGCAUCCCCAAACAAUAUUUUUCAACUGUAUAUAAUUGAAACCAAGUUAUAUUCUUUCAUGUUUUGCUACUUCUGCUUUUUAAAUUCUUGUGAUAGAUCCUUAUUAUUGCAUAAAAUUGACUUUUAAAAAAUUUUAAUUAUGGCAGAAUAUAUCUCAGUAAAACCACCCUUUCUUUGUUGAUGGACCUUUGAAUUGUAUCCAGCUUUGAACUUCUCUCGUGUGCGUAUCCUGGUACAAACAAGGAGGUUUUUCAGUAGAGAAUAUGCCCGGAAUGAAAUUGCUGAGUCACACGUUACAUAUCACUUCACUCUUACUAUAUGAUACCAAAUUGCUUUCAAAAGUGACUUAUUUGUUUAUUUGUUUUGAGACAGAUCUUGAACUCCUGUGCUCAAGUGAUCCUCCCGCUUCAGCCCUCCAAGUGUGGGGACUGUGGGCGAGAACCAGUGUGCCUGACCCAAAAAUAGCUUUAGUAAGUUAUUACUCAUCAGUAAUGUUAGAAAGCUCUCCCUAUGUACUAAAAAGGGUAGAAGUUGUGGUCUGUGGCAUAUCAGGCUAUCUCAUCAGGAGAGCUUGGUAAUGUAGUGAUUUUCAAAAUGGUUGUAUCUACACGGAUCCUUGUUUAAUCACAAACUUUUAAUGGAAAAUCCAUAUAUAAGACAGAUAGGAGCGGAAUUGUUUGGGUUGACAGAGAAAUGUAUGUAGAGAAGGGAGGGGGCUUGGAGUCCGCCUUCUGGGCUCUAACCUCGUGUCUGCACACAGCACGGUUUGUUGCUAGCAGGACUAUCCGAAGAUAUAGUAGGUUUCCCAGUAAGGAGUUUGCUUCACUCCAUGUGUGGAAGUCAGGACAGCGUUUGUUGAAGAUGUUGUAAAAAGAAUGUAUCAGUUGAUCAUCUCUGAGCCUUUUCUUUCUCAGAGAUUAUGAGAAGUUCUUCGUUUUCUAAAAUCGUAUGUUAAAUGACUAAUGCUACCUGGGGAUACAGACAGAUAGUGAUAGUGAUACCAGGGGGUGAGAUUCAAUGUCCAGACACAUCCUCCACUGGUGGAAGAGCAGAAGAGUGACUUUGGAAGAAGAUCAUUGUUCUUCCUGUGCUUUUUUUUCCCUCUGUCUCCUUUUUUGAGACUUCUCUUAGGAUCUUGGCUUUCUUUGAAAAACGAUGAGUUUCAUUGAUACUUGCUAAGCAAUCAUCAGGUGCUAACAAUGUAUAAUGAUCAUAUUUGGCCUCUCCACUCACCAGUCUACUAAUAGUCCCAUCUACGUCCUUACCUUGAGAUCCUUACAGUGUCAUCUAAGUUGUUCAUUCACUCAAAAAAUAUUAGGGGGUUUACUGUGUGCCAGAAACAGCUCUGCUACCUGCCCCAACUCUGUCAUCAACAAGACAGGCCGAAGCUCUUCGGCUCUUUGGAAAUGUACAUUCUAGCCAUCUCUCUCUCUCUCUCUCUCUCUCUCUCUCUCUCUCUCUCUCACACACACACACACACACACACACGCGCGCGCACACACACGCGCGCACACACACACACACUAAAAUAUAAGAGAGAGAAAAUCUCCAUGGGGAUUUAAAAGGAGGUGUGCUAGAGUGAUUGGGUCAUACUGCAGCUGGUGAGGUGAGGGGAGCUGAGAUCUGAACCACAUGGAGGGCCAAUGACUUUCCAGGGGUCCCUGAGCAUUUAUCAGGCAGCCUUCAGUCUAUUUCCUGUCAAAAUAUCAACUCAUGUUUGAAUAAAACUUUCACAAUUUUUUUUAUCCCAUUUCACUCUUAGGAUAGUUUUGUGAGGUAAGAGUUCUUAUUCUUAUUUCAUAGAUGGGGUAGAAACUUCCAGAUGGUAAGAUUCACAAGCAGCAGCUCCAGGUCUUAAGCCUAGGUCUUUAACGAGCUGCCCUUUCUCUUGCUCACUCCCUGUCUUGGUUCUUUGCACCGUGUGGUGAGUAGGCUGCCAGGAUGGGGUGGCUGCACCAGAUCCAUUUUGUGCUCUUAUUGUCUCUCAAAUGUUGAGCUGUUUUUUUCCUCUGGAUUGUCCUGCAAUUCAACCCAAAGUUGGUGCCGACUCCAGAGGUUUACAGGCUCAGUCCCCAAGACUAUCCCCACUUCAGAUGCCAGGCACAGUGUCAGGUCACAAGGUUACCCAUAUUUUUGUCUGAUUUGGGUACAAAGUGGAGUGGUUUCCAUACCUUUCACCCUUUCAUAUUUGAUGAUUUGCUAAUGGUGCAUGAGACUUUGGAAAACAUUUUCCUUACUAUUACUGGCUUAUUAUGAAGGAUACCAAUGAAUAGCCAGAAGAGGAGGUACAUAGGGUAAGGUCUGGAAGUGUCCCUUGCUUAGAAGUUUCUGUCUCCAUGAAUUUGGGUAUGAUUCUCUCCUGGUCUGGAUGUGUUCAUUAGCCCUGUGGCUCUUUGAUCCUGUCAUAUGGGGGUUUUAUUGAAGUUUGAUUGCAAAAGUAAGGUUGAUGUUGGUCUCUUUUCUGCCCCAGAGGUGAGGGUGGGUAGGGCUGAAGUUCCAGCCCUCUAAGCACAUGGUUGGCACCUCUGGCCACCAGCCCACAUCCUAAAGCUGUUGAGGAGUCCACCAAGUGUAACCAACCUCAGGGUUUCCUGACACAUAUGUGUAUACCUUUGUGUAAACUCAGGUCUGGCUGAAAUGGGCUCAGUCCAAAUAACCAAAUACACUACUGUUAUUCUGGAAAUUCCAAGGGUUUUGGUUGCUUUGUGCCAGGCACUGGGCACAAAAUCCAAACCUGUUUCUUACCUUGCCAAGGACAUGUCCAGCAAGAGCAGUUUCAAUUUCAGCAUCACAGGAGAGCCUAGAAAUGCCUCUUGCCCAAGAUCACCAGAGCAAGAGAUUAGAAUGCUGUCUGCAGAAACUACUGUCUGGCUGUUGGGUGGAGUUCCUCCUGCCUCUUUCUUCUCACUCUGCAGUUUGAAGCUUGUGGAAACCUGUUUAAGGGGAACCUGAGAACUUGUCCGGGCAGCACAUCCAUUAGCUCAUAUGUGAACAAUCAGCAAGUGUUCAAGAGCUGUCCCCCUCUGACACCUGCAGAUGAGAAUAUUAGGGAGCAAGGAGGAGGGAGUAUCUUCAUGAGAGGCAGUCUUGUUGGGUGGGAAGAGCUUGAAUUAAGAAGGAUGUGGCUUUGUUACCUACCAGCUGGGUGACUCUGGGUACAUUCUUAACCUCCUUGCUCCUAAUCUUCCUUAUUCUGAUCUGCAGCUCAUAUUACCUACUUUAUAAGCUUGGGAAUUAAAACUGCAUAUAGGAAAAUGUUUAUUUAAAGAGAUGGGAGCAUAAUAAGAAGUUAUUAUUUACAGGAACUGUGAGUUUUCAUGACCUUCAAUCCAAGUUUGGGUGAACAUUUACAGGGAAGGGUGUUACCACCUUGUCUGGUGCCAGUGAUUGGGAUGGGUUGCUUUUCUGCCAGCUAACUAUUGUGAUAAGAAUGACUUUAUGCUGACAGCAUCCUGGGCUAAGAGAAGGAAACUCUGAUUAGUCAUAAAAAACUAAAGCCCCAAGCUCAUCUGUCCUGUCUAUUUCCAUAAUCAGAGUGUACCUCUUGUGAAAUGCCCAUAGGCAGCAACCUCUGCCCUUGGCUUUUCCUGGAAAUACUAAUUCAGGGCAAUCAAGAGAAGUCCACUUGUGGUUGUGGGUGGGGAAAGGUGUGGGUGUCAUUUUCCAGAGUUUAGUAAGCUUUCAUUUGUCUAACCAUAAGCUAGAACAGUUAUACAUUUUAGGACCCCAGAGUCCCCUGUAAAGUUGCAUUAUCAAACCACGUGAGACUGGGUUAACUAAUGCCGUGGUGCACUGACCUCCCGCAAUGUGUUAAACUUGUCCUUAGAUGUACUCUGUUUCCAGACUCAGCACCAUUGCUGAGCACUAGCUCCUCCACUCCAAGGCUCCCUUUCCUCCCCUCCUUUUCCAACUACUGGAAUUCUACCGAUUCUCUCCAAGUCAAUUUCAAGCAGCAAUUCUCCUGGAAGGCUUUUCUUAAUUAUCAUCUCACUACGAUCUCUUCAUCAUUUAAAACUAAUUUUUUUUCCUUUGUGCUUUUCAUAUGGCAUUAAUAUUUUCUGCCCUGAAUUAUCGUUAUUUUUUAAUUCAUCAUCUCUUCUGUUAGUCCUUCGAGGGUGAAAAAUUUAUCUUUGGCAGACAUACCUUACUCAUAGCCUGAGCUAUAGUAGGUAAAUUUUAAUUGAAUGGAAGCACAGGCUUUGUGUUGGAGGUUGCUGUGCUAAACCAUGUUUAUGGUGGUUUCCUGGGCACUGGGGCCUGACAGGUGCUCUUCCACUGAGUCUCACAGCAAUCACAUGAGGUAAGGCCAUUGUGGCAAGAGAAACUGGGAGUCCAGUUUUUCCAUGACUAGAGACGUGACAUGCCUCAUUUAGGAAUGAAAGAGAAAUGACGUUCCAAAUUGGGAAAUGCAACUGGGUUAAGUGACAUUGCCACCAGGCAGAGAAUAGCAGCGUGGCCACUUGGUUCCUAAGGAUCUCCUCACAGCCUUCUUGUGUCACCUCUCAAUAGCUGUGAGCAUUGUUAAUGGAAAAUGAGACCUAGCUGUCAAGAGGUCCUUGGAGUUUCUUGGUUUUGUUAGUAAUUGUAUUUUGUAAAAUAAUGUACGAGACUGAAAAAUCAGCCCAGUUCACACAACAGUGACUGUGAACACACAUUUUAGGCCUGAACAGCAGCCCAAAGCAGGUGUCCAACCAUUGGUUCCUUCCAGCUCAGGCCCUUGGUUGGCUCUGUUGAAAGUAGCGGUUUUGUGAAACUCAGUCUUACCUUUACCAUCUUUGUGUCUCAUGGAGACAGACUAUAAAGAGGAAGAAAGAGCAAAAAUGCAAGCACUCAUUCAACAAAGAUGGCUUUAGAGAUGAGCUUGAAUGUCAUGAAAAUGACGGGGACUACUCAACAUUUCCUAAUGGUCCAAGGGACAGUGCAGUAUCUGGGGGUUGCUUAUGUUUUCUCCCUUCCUCACCAGGAGACUGAUUUUAUUAUUCAUUUCAAGAAGAAAAUCCACUUGAAUCUGUUGAGCUAGGAAUAAGGAAAGAAUGUAAUUUUUGUUUCCUUUCUCUCUGUGUCUCUCCCUACAACCUUCUUCUUUUUCCUUCCCUUCUUCCUUUAGUAUAGUCACUUAUUUUUUUUCUAUUAAUUCAUCAAGUAUUUAUUGAGUGCUUACUGCAUGCAGAUAAUAUCCAUGGUGGAUACAAACUUGAGUGGCUCUAAUUUGACAGAAUUUAAAAGUAUAGUUGCUAGUGGAGGAAGAAAGGAAGAAACACAGAAAAGCAAGCAAAAAUAAAUAUACAAAUCGCUAAUUGUGAUAUUGUUACAAAGUAUUAUAAAUGGCGUAUGAGAUCAGGGGCUUAAUGACAUAGGAUGAUUGUCUAAGAGAUCUGAGAAGCAAACAUUUAAAGGGUGCUUAAAGAGGUGAGAAGUAGCCAGCCACGGGAAGACGGUAAGGUGGGUGAAGGCAUGGUGGAUUCAAGGAAGUGUAAAUAGUCCUAUGGUUGGGGCAGAAUGAGUUAGAAGGAGAGUGGCCCAAGAUGAGGUCAGGAAGGGAGGCAGGAAGAAGAGACCAGGUGGGCAAUUGCUUCCUCUUUCAGCCCCUCAAUUUGCUGAUGUGCAAAAUGAAUUGUCAGACUGCACUGGAGCACUGCUGACCUUAGUGGUUGUUAUUAGUCACUUUUUGUUACCAUAAUGAAAUGCCAGAGGCAGGCUAUUUAUUUAUUUAUUUAUUUUUAAAAUACACAACAACAGUGGAAUGCAUUACAAUCAUUAUUACACAUACAGAGCACAAUUUUUCAUAUCUAUAUACAUAAAGUAUGUUCACGCCAAUUUAUGCCAUUGUACAUGUACUCUUUUUUCCUUUUGCAUUACGAUUCUUAAUACACAUAUACACCACAAUUUUUCAUAUCUCUGUUUGUAUAUAAGGUAUGUUGGCACCAAAUUCAAAUCUUCAUACAUGUACUUUGUAUAAUGAUGACCAUCACAUUCCACCAUCCUUGCUAAUCUCCUUCCCCCUCCCUUUCCCUCCCACCCCUCUUCCCUAUCUAGAAUUAAUCUAAACCUCCCAUGCUCUCCCUUCCUACCUCACGAUGAGUCACCCCCCUUAUAUCAGAGAAAACAUUCGACUUUUUUUUUUUUUUGGAUUGGCUGACUUCACUUAGCAUUAUCUUCUCCACCGCCAUCCAUUUACCUCAGAGGCAGGCUAUUUAUGAAGAAAAAAUGGUUUAUUUAACUCACAGUUUUGGAGGCUCAAAGUCCAAAUAGCAUGGCACAGACCCUGGUGAGGGCCCCAUGGCAGAUGGCAGGAGUGUGCAAUGAGAAAGGGCUCAUGAACAUCUAGAUACAGAAAGCCAGAGAACAACUCCAGGGUCAGACUCAGAACUCCAGAACUCACUCCAGGAGACUCUAUUCCAUGGGUGUGCCCCACCCAAAGCCCUGAGGACCUCCCACUAGCCUCUCCUCUCAACGGUCUCACCACCUCCCACUACUGCCCUCCUGGGGGUUCUGCUCCCAAAACAUGAACACUUGGGGAUGUCAAACAACCGUAGCAGUGGGUAUUAAGUGUGAGUCCUUUUUCUCUGUAGAUUUCAAAAUCAAAAUGUCCCAAGUUCUCUGGCACUGAGGAGGCUACUGUAGGCCCCAGGACUUAGAGGUCUACUUAAGUUAGGUGGGGAAAAACAAAAUGUUUGAAGCAAGGAUUUUCAACCUGGGCAUUCUUUGGGGCCAGGUGAAUUUUUCUUAGGCCCUUCCCCUGCUUUGUGGAAUGUGUAGUGGCAUUCUUGGCCUGUACCCACCAGAUGCCAGAAGCAAUUUUCACCUUGUUGAGAGUGACACCCGCCCCCCAAAAAAUGCUCCAGAUAUUGCUAAGUGUCCCCUGGGAGACAAGCUCACCUUUGUAGGGGAAGCGCUGCCUUCCAGGGAGAGGUUGUAACUCUAAUGAGUGGGCAGAAUGGACGAGAUGAGAGAUGGAACCUGACAUGUGGUUAAUGGCAGGGGGAGGAUAAAGUGUGGCAAGGACAACAGGAAUCAGGAGAGCACGUGCUCCUUACCACGGGCACCUCUUCCUCACCCCAGCUGGUUAUUUCUUUCUUUUCUUCCAUGACUUCAGAUAUUCCCAAUUAGAUAAUCCAUAAUCUUGGGUCUGUGACGCACUCUGGUUAUCUGUCCAGGUUAUAUGGCAUUAGCUUAGUUAUUCCAUUAGUUCUUCAGAAUAAUGUGACGAACCCACCACCCAGAGGAAAACUGGGAUCCUGAAAAUAACCUACAUCUAAUUGUCUGACCUGUCAUGCCCCUGCCUGGCCCUAGUAGAGGUGGCCAUUGUCUUCUAUUGUGUCUUCUUCAUAUCCUUAUUUCCCUUUCUAUAUGGUUUUAUUUUAUCUAACUGUAUCCUUAAAAAGUACCUUAAAUUGAAUUUGCUUUUAACUUUAUGAAGUGGUCGUGAUGUUAUUGCAAUACUUGGCACCGUGUCCACCUGCCGUUCACAGAGUCAUCCACCCCACUGGGUGCCGCUGUGGUCCACGUGCGUGAAGCAUGGCGUUCAAUCCCUUGUGUGGAUAUGGAUUGUGACAGUAUCCUAUCACUGGGUGGAGUUCAAGCUCCUUCCUGGGUUAUUUGGAAGGUGUCUUUUUGUCUUCUCUGCCUGAUUCUUACAGUACAAAAACAUGGGGGAAAUAUGGCCACGAUUUCUGAUUUGUUUGGAAGAAAAAAACAGAAAUGGCUAUUUUUGUGUGAAAAUAGCUAGGGGACCAAUUUAAAAAUUUAAGAAAUACUUAGCAGGUCAAUGAGAAACCUAUCUGCAGGUUAUUCUUUGUGUGCCUCCAGAUUUGUGGAUUAGGUUGUUCAGUAUGAGAAUCUCAAAGUCACAUUAACUUAGAAGCUUGGGAAAUUCUCCUUUGUACUAAAGAGUGGCAAACAAGAAACUACUGAAGCAGAAAUUUUAAUAGGUAUCAGAGUGGAGGUAAGCAGCAAGGUAAAUCGCAUUCAUUUGACAGAUUUGUGUUGUAAUGCAUGGAAAUUACAGCAAAGUAUUCUUUUCACACCUAACAUUUCGAAAUAAGGGAAAAGAAAUUAUCUUCAGGGAAGUCAACUUUUAAAAAUGGAGUCUUUUAAAACCUUCAAAUAUUAAAUAAAGCCUGAAGAGAAAUGUAAAAUGUCUUCAAGAGACUAAAUGGCUCCCAGGCCAACAAAAUUUGACUGUAAUUUGAUUGAACAAAUUAAUGUGUUUAAAGAGGGCGCCAAACAAUCAGGAUGUGAGAUGGUCAGAGAAGAUUCCAGAGCCCAUUUUAAGCACUGUGCUGACAUAUAGCUCCACUGUCAGGACAUCACACUGGAAAGACUUCUUUGGAGACAGCCACUGACCUGUGUCCUGUUUCAUUUCCAUGUUCUUAUGUCUACACUUCACGUAUCACCAAGUGCUCACCUCAUGUCAAACCCUAAAUUAAAGUGCUGAGGGUAAAUUCUGAAAGAUUAACUAGAUUCAACCUCAUGAGCCCUCCAGAGCAGGGCCUUAUUGAAGAACUGGGAACACCCCUGAAAAUCGAUGGAGAGGUGUGCAUAUUUUUAUAAAGAGAGAGUCCAUAGGUUUGGCCUCUCUGUUGACCUACUCGCUGAGGAAGUUUAAACCAUUGCUUUGGGACCAAAGUUUGGCUUCCUGUGAGGAGAAGCCCUGGAUAGCUGGAAGCCAAAGUUUAAGCACUUAUAGAUGCAAAAGACCUGAAUAUCUAGGGACUGAGGAAGGAGAAGAAUGUGUGGGUAAGCAAAGGAUGAAGACAGGAAAACUGUGCUGUUCUAUAAUGCACACAGCCUGCUGUGAGUUUAAUUAUUUGUGUAAUAUUCUUUUGAAAAUUUCCUAAUUUUCUUUUUUUUUUGGCUCACUGAUUCCCCCUUUUUUUUGUGGGAGGUGAGAGUAGGUGGAAUGCAGGGUGGCAGGGAGAGUUACCUCAAGCAUAUUCAGGGACAUGGAAGGCACUCCAUGAAUAUAGGAAAUAAAUUUCUAUGAGAUGGUAAUAGCACCAUGUCAAUUUUUGUAAUUUUAAACCCAAUAUCUGUUAAUAAUUCCUGGAAUGCAAUUCACUUUGAGUCAUUACAACUCAACUCACUUCAAGAAGCAAUAAUUGUCCAUGCCUUGUCCACAUUUUUUUCAUCGUUUCUACAGAAAAUUUAAUAAUUUUAGUAUUAUGGAUCACAGAGCCACUAAAUGGAGUGAUAGUGUCCAGCAGGCUGACAGUAGGGAAGCUUCUAGAGUAGCAUUGUGGUAUUACAGGGGCCGAUUUGCUGCGCUUGCCAGGGACACCUUUGUCUACUCCCAUCAUUCCAGUGUUAUUAGUAGCACCUCAUUCCUAGGACAAUUUAUAUGGUCACCUUUCUGUAAAAACCUUUUAUUGCUCUGUGUUUAAUCUUUCUAUUUGUGUCUUCCCUCCCCUCUAAACUAAUGAGCUCCUUGAGGCUAGAGACAUUGUCUCAUUUAUCUCUGGGUCACGCACAUGCCUGCUAUUUGGCAGACCCAAUAAACAUCAGUUAAAUUAAACUGAAAAUUAAAGAUAGAAUGUAGAAGAGCUUGAGAGUAGAAAUAGCCAGCCCACAUUGUCUUCCAUGUGCUUUAGAGGUCUACAGUGGAGGCCUAGUUUGGAGUUACUUAGGAGCUUUGUGUCUUGGGAAACUUAUUUCCUCUUUCUUAAACAGAGGAUGAUGUGUAAAGUACUUAGUGAAGGACUUUUAAGUGCCCAAUAAAUGUUAGUUGCUAGCAUUGCUAUCAGUAAUAAUUAGUUACUAAUAAUAACUGUUAUUGUAUAUAGUGACUUGAAACUUGAGUUUUUUAAACUGGAGAAUGAAGACAGUGAUUCCUGCCUAUGUUAUCUUAAUAAUGAGCAUGAAGAUAUUUUGGAAAGUAUUGAGGACUCUUGUUGCACAACCCAUAAAUAAACGCAUGCUAACUGAGAGGUUUGUGCUACAGAACAGGGUAGCUCAGGCAGAUGACAUGGGGGCUCAACUAACUGGCAGUAUAAAAGUUUUCAUAUAUACAUAUAUGUAUGUGUGUGUGUGUGUGUAUAUAUAUAUAUAUAUAUAUAUAUAUAUAUAUAGUGAUAAAAUGAUGAGGCUGGGGCUAGAAAUUUAUCAACGACAAAGUGUACAAUGGAACAGCACACUGGAGAUGUGGGUGGAAGGAUUCAGGACAGGGAGGGAAACUAUGAUGGUAACUUACUCCAUAUGGGACAAACAGAGCAUUGCCAGGGAUGUGAUGUGGGGAGCCUUUCCAGUUGUGGCACCAGGAAAGCAAAAACUGGAGCUUGGGCCAGAGGAGCGUUCAUGUUAGGGUAGACAGUCUACUCUGCAAAUAAGUCAAAGCUUUGAUUUCUGAGUUAAUGCAAACAUUCUAUAAGAGUCAGGCCAAAUGUGGACAAUACCUAAGGAUGUCAUUCAGUGCCUGUCUGUGCUGCCAAUCGUAGGAGGGAAUCUAAUAAUUACACUUGAAAAUAGCUUUCAGCUCGGGAUCACAGAACCUUUCCAGAUAAUGUAUUCUUGAUCAGGUGAGACAGGAAGCGGAGGUUGCAAAGUUUUAUUUCAGCUCUCUGGUUCCCUAGAUAUUAUCACUACCCACAUUUUAUUGAUAAAAAACUUAGGAGAAAGAAGAUUAAAUAACUUAGUGUAAGUUCACAUAACCAAUAAGAGGCAGAGCUAGUCUCUGAACCCAAAGUGUCUUGGUCCAGAGAAUGUGCUUUUAACCAGAACAUUCUACUCCUUCUCAGUUUUAUAACCAGUAAAAAGAAUACCUAUGAUUUUGUGAAAAGUAGUCGUGAGACUAAGGCCAUAAACUUCAAAGGGUAGUUUUCUAUUCUGCUCCAGACUUUUCUUGGAAAGAAGUUUGUCUAGAUUAGACAUGUAUGAGAGGUGAAUCUCUUAUCUUGUUCAAAUUUCUGUUGUCUAGGAUCUAAUAACAUCCUCUCAUGUCUCAUAAUGGUGCUCAAUAACACAAGCUGAUGUGAACUAUAGAUUCUCUAUGUAUUAUCCCUUCUGAUGUCAAAUUCCUUUUGUUACUUAACAUGGGGGGAACAUGGGGACAUAUGUGACCAAACUCCCAAAAGCAAGUUGGCUGUUAACCCUCUUGUGAUCAGAUUCUUUCACUGAAUCCUGGUUCCAAACCUCACAGCCUGGUUGCCCUUUCCCCGGCCUGGGGGGUUUGCUGGUUCUAGCCAACAGGAUCACUGGUUCACUGUCAUGGCUAGCUUUCCUGCCACAAGGCUUGUGGACCUGUCUGCUGUAGCUAUGAAUCAAACUCAAGGUUCGCCUGCUGACAGAAUGGGGUUUGAAUCUUAGCAGUGGAACUGGCUGUGAGGCCUUGGACACUUUGUCCCAUUUAGCCAUUCUGAGCUCAGUCCCAUAGUUUGUGAAAUGAGGGUAAUAUUUCAGGGACCAUAGGGAUAAUUGGGAGACUUCAACAACCCAUAUAUCUGAACGCCUGGCAUAGUGGUAUAGUGUUUGGGCCAGGGCAGCUGAGGGCCCAAAUUGUAGAAACGAAUUUUUGCAUUUAGAUGGUUCUUCCUUGGAGGUCUGGGAUCAUGUCUGAAAUUUCUUUGUCAGGAAUCCUGCUCCACUGUGUCUCUCCCUCUCCUUGUCUUCCCCUCCCCCCCCCCCGUCAACACUCCCUCUCUGCCCCCAGUUCAUUGCUAAAAUCAGUAUUUGUUCAUAUAUCGUGCUCAACCAAUAUUGAGAGUCAUUUUGAUUCCAUUUCAGGAAAUAUUUGGCUAUCGGACUCAAAGCUGCAGGAAAGUCCUCUGCCUGGCUGGAUCCAUCGUCUCAUUUGGAAUCCUCCCCUUGGUGUUUUAUUGGAGACCGGCUUGGCAUGUCUGGGCAAGCUGUGUCCCGUGUUCCUUGCAAGAAGCAGACAUUGUGCUACUGAGGACAACAGUAAGUGUCUGCCUGGUUUUGUAAUUAGCUGGUGACCCCUCUUCCUAGACGUCGUGCUGCAGGAGGGCUGUGGAGAUGAGCAUGAGGCAGGUGGCAGAUGAACCCUUUCGGUAUGAUUAGGUCUGUUCAUGGCUUGGCAUCUACCGGGAAUUCAAUAAUUUGUACACGAUGGGAUUUGUUUAAGAAGACCUAUAUCAUGGCAUGUUCUUUUUAAAAUGGUGACAUUUGUGAAUAUUAUAAAAUAAUCACAUUAAUAGCUAAAGAUAUUAGGGGGUGUGAAGUGGUUAAGUCAGGUUACAGGUUACAAAAUCCACAUUGACUCUUAUUCCAAGCCUGAUGUACCCAUGCCUGUUCCCUCUGUGGAGUGACUUUAGAGGAAGGGAGAGAGGAGCUGGGGAGGAUAGGAGGUAGAAAGCAUCCCUCUGUGGGCUCCACAGAGAAGUGACUUCCUAACUUGUUAAUUGCUGCUCUCCCUGAUCCUGCAUGUGGUAGUGAUCCCACUAACACGAGGUGGCUGAGGGGCUGACCUGGAUAUUCCUGCGGAAGGAGUGAAAGGACAGUCUCAUGGAGCACUCCCCUCUGACUGGCUCACUGAUUCUAACAAGGCGCCAACCUAAAUGACCCAGAAUGACAACCAAAUCCCUGAUAAAUCAAUUGCUUUUGGGAGUGUAACUUCUUUUUAUUUAUAGCACUCUUUCUAGAUGAACAUUUUAUUUAAUGCUGUAAGAAGGAAGGACGGCAGCAGGACUUAUAACUAGCAAAAAAAGAAAAUGUUGUAAUCCAAAAUCUAACCAAGCUUGGGCUAACUUUCCAUGACGCUGGGAAUUGGAUAGAGUAUGUCUGCUGACUUGCUGUGCUGGGACCAGCCCCACCCUUCAUUCUGGAUCCUAUUCCUUUUAAGAGCUACCUGUUCUAGGUCUCAGAUUAGCUGACAUGUAACCCUGAUACAGGUGACAGCUAAGGGACUGACUUGCAGGUUGAACUAUAAUUUAACCAGAGGUUCUUGAAGAAUAAGCUUCAAGACUUCAAGAAAGCAAGAUAUUAUUGUGGAGUAAGGAUGACAACUCAUGUUGAUGAUGUUGAGAGGCAGCGGUAGCCCACGGAACGGUCAAAGCAUACUUUUCGAAGGCUCCUAGAAUGUGCUUGGAAGGAAAGUGCCUGGCACUCACAUACAAGACUUCUUCAUUGGAUGGGAAAGUGGGGCCUGGGGAGGUGACACAAUUUACCUGAGCUCAUAUGUGAAUGAGGCGCCUAAGACUAAAUACCAUGUGUACAGUUAGUCUAGGGCUAGCCUCCUAGUCUAGGGUUGUUCCCACUGGGUUAUAUUUAGGCCAAUGGUUCCCAAGUCUCAGCUGGCAUCAGGAUAUUCUAGGAGGCCCAUUAACACAAAUAGCUGGGGCCCACUCCCUGGAGUUUCUAGUCCACUAGAUUUGGAUGGGGCUGGGAGUUUGCAUGUUCAGUGGGCUCUCAGGUACUGCUAAUGCUCUGAAAAACCGCACACGGAGAAAACUGCUACAAAUCAUCAUAGUUCCUGUUUAGGAGCUGUCUUGGUCCUUGGGAGAGGAAUAGAGAUUUGGACAUUUGAUUCAUGGCUCAGCCAUUAGAUAUCUAUAAAGUCUGCGGGAAAUAAUCCAGAUUUAGCAAAGGGUCAUAAGUGGCCCUCCUAGACACAGUCUGAAUUUCUUGCUGGGGCAGAGUAGAGAAGUUUGUUUUCUGGGGCCCAGAAGGGGUCUUAAUGUUUUUUUCUUUAAUUUUUAAAUUUGUUGUUUUUAGUUAUACAUAACAGUAGAAUGUAUAUUUUACCUAUAUACCUGGAAUAUAACUUUCCAUUCUUGUACAUGUGUGGAGUUACACUGAUUCUGUAUUCAUAUAUGAACAUAGGAAAGUUAUGUCUGAUUCAUUCUAUUAUCUUUCCUACUCCCAAUUCCCCUUCCUUCCCCCCACUCCCCUCCACUCUCCAAAUGGUGAACCUCCACCCGCCCACUCCCCUACCCAUGCCUAUUGUGAGUCGGCAUCCACAUAUCAGAGAGAACAUUUGGCCCUUGUUUUUUUGGGAUUGGCUUAUUUCAUUUAGUAUGAUAGUCUCCAGUUCCAUCCAUUUACCAGCAAAUGCCAUGAUUUCAUUCUUCUUUCUGGCUGAGUAAUACAGAAUGGGGACAUGAUGUUGAUGAAAGACCAAGGUUUCGUAGAGCUGCUUCUCCAUGUGAAUCUAAGGACCUAUCAGGUUUUUACUUUGUAGCAUGGAAUGAAUUUACCUCUACCCUGCGGGUACUUCCAUGAGCUCUCAACUAGUUCUCAGGAGGGCACUGCUUUUGCUGUACCAGAAGCAAAACCUCUGAAUCAAAGACUCCUCAGCUCUGAGAACGACUGGCUGGCUGAGCAGAGCUCUCUGAGACUGCUGGAGGGAUCAAGGCAUGGACAGGAAAUGAACAAGAAAAUGGGAAGGGAAGGGACGACAGUGAAAAACUGGAGAGGGAAAUAAUUAAACGGAAAAUGAAGAUGCAGAAAGAAGAAUCUACCAAGGGUGAAAAAUUUGAAAAGUGUCAGCACACAGGCAGAUAGUGCCUUCUGGAAUUUGGAGUCAAAUAUUUUGACUUUUAGUCCUGGUGCUUUAGGUUUGUUCCUAAUUUUUCAGGAUCUUGGCUACUCCACUUACAAAAUGGAGCUAGCAUAUAUGAAUAUGUAACAACGAAUCCCAUCAUUCUAUACAACUAUGGUGCACCAAUAAAAAUAUGAAAAACUAUGUACCUGUGUAGCUUAGGAAAUAAAAAAUUUGUCAAAAAAGUUUUAAAAAUGGGGCUAGUAAUGUACUUAUUCUUUACUGGGCUGUUGUGAGGAUGAAGUGAGAUUAUGUAUAUAAAAGCCAUUUGCAAACUGUGAAGUGGAUUAUCAAUGACUAUUUUAAAUUUGUGCGCAGUGCGCAUGCGUGUAUUUUGUUAUUAAUAGUUCAAGUGGCUCAAAAAGCUUUCUGUGAAGAAGAGCUUGCUGUGCUUGAGGUGUGUCCAUGCCUAAAGGCCAUGCUGGCUCUGAUGUGUCCUCCUUUGUUGCCAGCAGGCCUGGCAUGCCCUUCCAGGGUAAGGUGUCUUGUGACUGGGAAUCCCCAGCCCUCUUCUGUCCCAGCCAGGUGAUCUCACCUGAUUGCAUGUGGUCCCUUUUGCAAAUGAACAUAUACUAGAAAUACUCCAAAAAUCAAAAUAAAGCAAAACCACAGAGCCUUUGGAAGCUACAUCCCACUAUCCUACACCUUUCUUUGCCUCUUUUUCAAGUCUAUGUAUUCCCUCUCGCCUUUCAAUGCCCUUCGAGCGACUCAGAAUAGUCUCAACCCACUUCAAUCAUGUCUUUUCCAUUUGAUUUCAACUUUAAUUUUUAAUUACCUGCGCUUGUGUGUAAUUUUAAAUGGAUUUUUUAUGCCAGAGACCCUUCAAAUAAAUGACGUUCUAAAUUAGUCUUUAUGUAAUUAAGACAAGAACUCAAUUAUUUCCAACAUUCUUACUAUCCAAGACUUAGAUAAAAAUAAGCUUCGAGCACCAAUAGAUUAAAAGCCUGCUUCUAGGUUAUUUGCAUUAAAAUGACAUUUUAAAAUUUUUUAUUUGAGUUAUAUUAGAAUAGCUGGACUCUUACAACUCUCACUAGAGAGGACUGGGUGACUCCUACCUGAAAAUGUGUUAUUUAUCUAUUCUUCAUGUUAUUAGAAAAUCAGUACUUGGUAUUUAUCAUCAAUCUCACACUGGUAAGAUUGCAGAUCAUUAUCACAGAAACUGAUUAGGUAGUCAUUUCUUAACAUUAAAAAAAAAAGCAUGAUGUACUUACUGUAAACUUUCCAUAUUCAGUUUAUUUUUGGUUUCCCCUUUCUUAUUAAGCACCAUAAAGUGCAAGAUUUUUUUUCUUUUUUUCCAAGAGUAAUUACAUUUUUUAUUUUAUAAACUUUAAGGUAGAAUUUAUUCAUUAUUCAUGUAUUUCUGAAUUUUAACCAAUAUUUGUAGUGAUGCCACAUUUCUAUGCAAAUAGCCUAAUUUACAUUCAUCGGUGGUUUGAAUUAAAUGCUCCUGAUGAUUUCUGUAGUUCCCAUCUUUUUUUGCAAUCACACACACGUUUUUCCCUUCACCGUCUUUGCAUAUCACAUAUUGUCAAAGACCCACGAUGUGCAAAGGAGAACUCUGUGAUGAUUCCUUUUGAGGCCUGACUCAAGGCACUUCAUUCUGAGAGCAGCUUUUUUCCUUCAGUUCCAAUUAAAGACGUCAGGCCUGGCGGCUUUUCGUUAAAAACUUAGGAACUCUGCAAAUCAGCUAUGCAAAUGGCAUCCUGAAAUCUGACAGGAUGGGGGUGGGAGUGGAGCUGAGGUGGGGGGUGGGGAUUAUUGCCUCUCCUCAGUACCCCCUCAGCAGGGUGGUCGCUCACAGCCCAUCCCCCACAUCAGCACCAUUUUUCUAUGGAGGCAGCAGGGAGUCCAUGCUUUUAGCCAUUAACUGUUUUCUACCCUCCGUCUUUUCACCAACUUAUUCAUUCAUUAAUAAGUAUUCACCAAGCAUCAGGCAGACACCAGACAUUAUUGAAAUCACUAGGAAUAUAACUGUGAACAAAACAGAUGGAAACCCUUGUCCUUGCUGGGUGACACUCUUGUGAGGAGUCAACCCUCUUCCUCUCUCUCACCCACACACAUUCUCUGUAGAACAGAUGCAGAACACAGGUAUUUAUGUCCACUUAUUAAAACCUUCUCAUUCCUUAGACAUGCAUUUAUUCAUUUAUUUAAUUAUUUACACAAAUGGAGCACAACUUUUUAUUUCUCUGGUUGUACAUGAUAUAGAGUCACACCAUUUGUGCAGUCAUACCCAUAAAUAGGGGUAAUAAUGUCCAUCUCAUUCUACCAUCUUAACCCCUCAACACAUACCUCCUUGACUCCCCUCUCUCCCUUCUGCUCAAUCCAAAGUUCCUCCAUUUUCCCCUUGCCCCUCCCCAUUAUGGAUCAGCAUCCACUUAUCAGAUAAAAUAUUUGGCCUUUGGUUUUUUGGAAUUGGCUUACUUUACUUAGCAUGAUAUUCUCUAACUCUGUCCAUUUACCUGUAAAUGCAUAAUUUCAUUUAUUAAGGCUGAGUAAUAUUCCAUUGUGUAUAUAUAUACAGUUUCUUUUUAAAAAUUUUUUAAAAUUUUAAUUUGUUUUAUAUGAUGACAAAACACAUUACAAUUCAUCUCACACAUAUAGAGCAUAAUUUUUCAUAUCUCUGGUUGUACACAAAGUAGAGUCACAUCCUUCAUGUCUUCUUACAUGUACUUAGGGUAAUGAUGACCAUCACAUUCCACUAAUUUUCCUAACCCUAUGCCCCCUCCCUUCCCUUUUCCCCUUUGCCCUAUCUAGAGUUCAUUUAAUCCUCCCCUCCACACACACACACACACACACACACACACACACACACACAGCAUAUUAUGGCUCAGCAUGCUUAAAUCAGAGAAAUAAUUCGGCAGUUGGUUUUUGGGAUUGGCUAAUUUUACUUUUCGUUAUAUUCUCUAGCUCUGUCCAUUUACCUGCAAAUGCCAUGAAUUGAUUCUCUUUUAAUGCUGAAUAAUAUUCCGUUUUGUAUAUAUACCACAUUUUCCUUAUCCAUUCAUCUACUGAAGGGCAUCUGGGUUGGUUCCACAGUCUAGCUAUUAUGAGUUGUGCUGCUAUAAACAUUGAUGUGGCUGUGUCCCUGUAGUAUGCGGUUUUUAAGUCUUUUGGGUAUAGACCGAGAAGUGGGAUAGCUGGGUCAAAUGGUGGUUCUAUUCCCAGUUUUCCAAGGAUUCUUACAGAGUUUUUUUUUGUUUGUUUGUUUUUUGUUUUUAAUUCAUCUACUGAAGGGCCUCUAGGCUGUUUCCACAGUUUAGCUAUUGUGAAUUGAGCUGCUAUAAACACUAAGGCGGCUGUAUCACUUUAGUGUUGUGGUUUUGAAUCCUUUGGGUAUAGACUGAGGAGUGGGAUAGCUGGAUCAAAUGGUGGUUCCAUUCCAAGUUUUUGAAGGUCAUUUCUUAGACUUUUAUGACCUUCUCUAUCAUGUCUUUGUUGAUUCAUUCUCCGGCCCAGUCCUGGAGGUACUUCCUCAUCUCUCCUGCAUUCUCUUUUAAUUCUCUGUUUUCAUUUCUAUGCUUUUGGCAGUCUGCCUUGUAAUAAAAUGCUGUUCACUUUGCAGUUUAUAAUAUAGCCAGUCACUGAUCAUUUUAUUUAGUUUUCAUAACAACCCUGUAAAAUGUCAGGAUUGUGUCCAUUUUACAGAUGAGAAUACAGAGAGAACAAGUAAUCUUACUUCCUAGUAAAUGUCAGAGCCAGGAGUUCCCUCCCUGUUUCUCUUUCCUUCAUAAACCUGAUGAGUGCAGACUGAUGCCAGUCACAGUGCUGGUUCCUGACAGGGGUAUGUCUUUGUUUAUUAUUAUAAACAAAGGGUCAUGGAAUUCAUCAGUCCACCACAUAAAAAAAUUAUCCAACUCUUCAAAGUGUUACUUAGGAAAGGUUCACAGUUAGGGUAGGAUUAUGUAACAGGGAUUUAACCAAGUCAAUAAAAUCUGGAAAAAUCUUCCUGGGUUCCAAACAGAUGAGAUUUAAAAGCUGAUGGGAAAGGCAUAUGAAAAGUGGUUCAGAAGAGGAAAUCAUGUGGGCAAAGAACUUGAACCUAAGUUUUCCCACCCUCUGAGUCCCAGGGUUGGUUUGGCACUAUACCACAUUCCUUUUUAUGGUUUUACUCAUAUCAGAUUAUAGGCUUUUUGAAGAAAGAUGAGUGGCUUACUUUUUAUCCUCUCUUGGAGCUAGUACAGAGCCAUGGCAGGUGCUCAAUAUUUAUUUCAUUCAAUUAAAUAAAUUGAAUUCAAUGGAAUCUGUAAUAGUCUUACAGUUUCUAUUACUGCUUUAUUUCAAAGAUACUAAAGUGAAAUGCCACAAUUGAGAAAGAAAGAGAACAUGGUAUUAUGUAUCUUUUAGGUACACACUCCCUCUCCUGAAGCCCAUCCCCUCUACCCCCACUUCUCCCUGUCUUUUUACUAAACAUGGAACCAGAAAUCCUGAGAUUCUCAGAACUGGCCACGGACAAAUAACUCUAUGUUAAGAUAAGUAGUUCUGAUGCUAUUAUUCUUCAUAACACAGGGCCAUUGAUAUUGUGAUUUAAUAGUUUGAGUUACUGCUGGAGACACAGAAGAGUUAAAUGAAAUGCUCGUGGUGCCAGAGCUGUAAGCAACAGGAGCAAAAUCGCUAAGCAUUGAUGGAGAGUUGAACUAAAGAUCUUGUGAGUCUCUGUGUAAUGUCCAGAUGCCACAAAGGCAAUACUGAGAAGUGCCUUCAGCAUAGAGGCUGGAAUCCGGGUGCCUAGAUAUGAUUCCUAGCUCUGCUCAUGCCCAACCACGGGCAAUGUAUUUGUUUGCUAGUGCUCCCAUAGCUGAAUUUUAUGUUUUCAUAGUUCUGGAAGCUGGAAGUCCAAGAUACAGGUGUCAACAGGGUUAGUUUCUGGUGAGGAUGGUCUUCCUUGUUUGCAGAUGACUACCUUCUCUCUGUGACCUCAAAUGGCCUUUCCUCUGAACUCUUACACUCCUGGAAUCUCAUCUUCAUUAUAUGUGGAUAUCAAUUUUACUGGAUUAAUGUACUACCUCAUGGCCUCAUUUAGCCUUAAUUACCUCAUUAAAAACCUUAUAUUCAAAUAGAUAUGAGGUUAAGACUUCAACAUAUGAAUUUGCGGGUGACAACCCAGACUAUAAUAGGCAAGUUACCUACCCCUCUCUGCCUCCAUUUACUCUUCCAUUAAAUGGGGCUGUCAAUAGGGUCUACCUCUUUGGAGGAUAUUCGGUGAUAUGUGUGAAGUGCUGAGAUGAGAACUGCCUGGUAUGCAUGCAUUCACUCCAUGGGCAUCGAUUAACUUUUUUCUAUACCCUGCAUCUCCAGAUGUUUUGCAUCUCCAGAUGUUACAGAUAACGAACCAACUAAUCCACUAACCCCUCUCCAUUCAGAAAACAACUAUAAAGCAAACAAGCACCAAACCACAAUCUCUCAAAAUACAUAUGCUGAGUUGUUCUGAGUUGUCUUUUUCUUUUUUAAGGAAAAAAAACAUAGAUACAACCUUUUUAUGUCAUAUGACUUCAUUAAUUUGCAGCACUCAUUUUAUUUAUUUAUUUCUGGUUAAUAUGUCCUAACAGUACUCAGAUAAUACACUGUGUGCAAUGUCUCCAAUGUUUAGAGAAUUCUCCAUAUAUCUUUUAGCUGAAUCUCACAUUCUAGCCAAUGUCAAUGUUUUUCAGCUAAGCAACAUUGGAUAGAUUAGGUCAGGGUAUAAAGAACAUCAAAUGAAUCUGUCCAAAAAGGGGAAAGAAAAAGAGAAAAAACUGAUUCGCAGAAAGAAUGAUAUUUCACAAAAGUUAUAGGUCUGUUAAGGUAGUGCAGUGUUAAAGUACUGCAGUGAGGAAAUUUAGGUUACCAUUACUUUAUCUCUAAUAUGCUAAGUACUUCACCUUACCAGAGAGUUCAUCAAUCUAGCUUUGCAGGGUGCCCAUCUCUAAGAGAAAGUAUUCAUUUUCUAGUGCCUUUUGGAAUUUUGCAGUAGGCUACUUCUUUUAUUUAUGGCAAACUCAAUACAACUUUUGCUUGUAUGAGUGUGUGCUACUGAACAUACAAGAGCACUUGCAGGACUGGCCUGAAUUUAAAAUGACCAUUAUACUGCUUUUAAAUUCCAAAGGUUGAAGUGCUUUUAGAAAAAGGCUGAGAUAAGAUAAGCAAGAUAAUCCAGUACAUUCAAAAGUAAAAUUUUGUCUGGAAUUUCCAGGUUCAGAAAGUUCAAGAUCACAGAAAAUAAACAAUGCCCAGUUUGUUCCUCUAUUUGUCUUCCCAGGUCAAGCAUAGGUCCUCUGUGUACAUUCAACUUUGGAAAUGCACUCUUCAAUUAUUUUGAGACCUAUUCUUUUAGAGUUGAAGAAUUAAUCUGGUCAAUUAUUUUGAUAAAGGGGAGGUACGUUCUGCUCAGGGAGACUUGAGUGAGUCCAGAUUUGCUAGGCAAACAAUUGAUAUUAUUUACAUUAUAAGCCAAUUAUUUAAUUAAAAAGGUAUUAUAUAUUUCUUCAUUUAAUACUUCAAACAUUCAUGAAAUGUGACAUUAUUAUUACUACUCUCCUGGGUAAAAGAGAUUAGGUUCAGAGAGCUGCAAGGCAGUGACAAGCUGAGAUCUGGGCUCAGGUCUCCAGCCUGUGGUCUUUCCAUAAUAUAUAAUAUCAAACCAAAAACUGAGAGAAGUUGGAGAUGUGACCCCAGUUGACCAUUUCAUAUUGGAACACUUUUUUUCCAUUCCUUUGCUUUUCUUUUUCUCCUAAAAAAAGCUGGGCUAUUUGACAAGAGUCCUCAAAAGAAUAGUUAACAAGAGAGAAGUCACUACCCUACUCUAAGAAAAAUGAUUGCUUAACUGUUGUAACUUUUACUUUGCCUGUAGAAUUCUACUUUCUGUUAUACAGAGUUAUUGGGCAAGAGGUAAAGGCAACAACAGGAAAUGAACUUAAACACAAAUAUAACUGAUCAUAUUUGGUUUAAUGAUAUCACAAGUUAUGAUAAAUAUAGACAUAUAGAAGAAUUUCAGUGUUUGAUACUUACAAGUAUCAAGACUAAGGUGUGCAUUUGGUGCAUUGGAUAAACAUUGGACUUGGGGAACUUGGGAGUUUCAAUUGUAUACUUUGCUUUUCCCUUUUUAGGCAUACAGUAUGGAAGGCUGCUGGUUGUUGCAGAGCUUGACUUUGUGAAUCAGAUUCUGUGCUUCCAAGGGAGCAGAAAUUAUGAGAAAAUGAAUGUGUUUUGUUACGUAGUACAGAAUUCAAGGUGAUUUCCCACACACAAGUCACAAACACCAUGGAACAACCUGUUGAAAUAAAGAGGAAGGAGUCAAGAUUUGGAGUGGGAAAACCUGGAAUCAGGUCCCAGUUUUACCCAACUACCAAUAUCAGACUGGAUCAAAUAAUUCUUAUCCCUGGUCAUGGUCAUCCAAUAAUUCUUAGCUCUGCUCAUGAUUUCUCAUCUGCAAAAUAGAGAUAUGGGCUUUGGGGAACUGUGAGUCUAAAAUAAGAUAGCAGAUACAAAAAGUUCACAGAAACUGCUAAGUAAUCAUAUGAAAUGUCGUCAUUGAUAGUAUUUUAAUUCACAUAAGAGGAUCAAGAGUAGCUGUCUUCUCAUUUGUCCUCACUUGGUAACUACAGGUCUUUAGUCUUUAUGGAUCUAUUAUAAUUUGUAUUCUCAUCUACCAACAAAUUAUGUGCUUUCUUAUCAAGUUUUUUAGUUGAGACUUUAUUCUUUGGAAGUCUCAGUUCAGGUUGAAUAUAUAAAGUGACAACUCAAUUUUUUUUUUUUUUUAGCAAAAUUUAGAAUGGAGGAGGGGGUUGACUAUGGAGGAGCCCAGCAGGGGUGUGGUGGAUGGUUAAAUUCCUGCUCUAAUACUUGCCAAGCAUCUUAAUUUACUCACCUAUAAAGUGGAAGGAUAAUUGAGGUAAUUAUCUCAUAGGGCUUUUGGGCAUUAAAUGAAAUCUGUGCCUAUAAUGUAGUGAGUGAUAAAUAUAUUUAUUACUGCUGUCAUUAGAAACUUGAAGUUCUUCUCAUAGCAAAGCCCCUUUGAUAGGGUCAAAGGCAGAGCUAUGUAAUACAAACUAUGUCAAAGCAUAUUCUAGAGAGUUGGCUGCUUACUCUACCAUACCUAAAAGUGUCUACCAGUUUAGUGGCUCAGUUAUUGGAAAGUUAGCUCUCUGCAGUCACUCUUAGGCUCUGAAAAUAAAUCUAUGUGAAUUUUAUUUGGUUUGAUUUAGUCAUCUUUCCUCUCACACAGGGUCAUAACCCAUUUCAUUAGUUUUUCAUAAAUUAAUACAUUAACUUUCAAAUUUCUAGUUAGUUUUCCCUCCUCUUCUCUUCCCUCCCCUGUUCCUUUGCUUUGCUCCCGCCAACCCAUCUCUCUGUCCAUCUCUACCUCCCAGCCUGAUUGCCAUCUUUCUCUCUGCCUCUCAGAAUCUGUGCUAGACCUGGCUGGAGCACAGACAAGUGUCAGACACAGUCCCUACCUACAGCCCAAGACAAGUGACAAAGUGGACAAAAGGUAGACUGCUAAGAAUCUCAAGUUACACCAGUGGUGUAGAGGAGGGAUGGCUGAGGGAGAUUAGGGAGGUCUUUGGGCUGAACCCCAAAGGCUGUCCAGGAGGUGGCCAUGUCAGCACUCAGGAAGGGAAAGAAGGAAUGUAUUCCAAGCUGAGAAGGAGCAGGGGCAAAGGUACAGAGGAGGACCACUCUUGAGGAAGAUGAAUCGAGGAGAUUUAGGACAACCAUUUUGCUAUCUCCUCCCUACUUUUAAUACUCAGAUCAAAUAGUCUUCAAGGAAAACCUGAGUAUGUCACCGAAAUAAUUCCCAACUGUGAUCUACAUUCCCAGGCAUUGAUUUCCUGGGCUUGAUUUCCUUUGUUAUCUCGCUUAGCUCCUAAGGUUUAUCAGUGGGUUUUAUGUUUAGCCUUUACCCAUUCAGAUAAUAACUACUGUCAUUAUCACAUUAGUCUCCAAGGGACCAUUGUGGUGUUUGUUAAUCUGGUGCUCUUCCUUCUAGCUUUAGUCUGUGAUGAAGUCACCAGUGAACUGCAAAGGGAAAUGGUUUCAAUUAGGGUCCUACAAGAAGGGACCUUCUUGUGCUCACUUCAGCAGCAUAUAUAUAUACUAAAAUUGGAAUGAUACAGAGAAGAUUAACAUGGCCCCUGUGCAAGGAUAACAUGCAAAUUCAUGAAGCGUUCCGUAUUUUAGGAAACUGAGACCCCACACAGUGUUCUUGAAGAAAUUGGAGCGACAUAACUCUCCUCCUUUGUUGAUGACUUCUUAUGGCAUUUUACACACUAUAGAUGGUCACUGCCUUCAUGUCCAUGUUAGCUAACAGUGUAAGAUGAUGUCUUGUCAGUAUGACUGUUUUGCUAAGCUGAUUAAUUCAGGCAUACAUUUUUUUUUAAAAAAGGGAACUUUGGUCAAUUGAAUAAUAAGGGACUUAAAUAUGGAUUAGAAAUAUGCAUAAAGUACCUUUCUUGGAUUUCUUAAAUUUAUAGGUCUAUUUCUAUUUAUCAUAACUGAUUAGGUGCAUAUAUGAAAAUGACACAUCUGUAUACAAGCAAUAUCUAUCAAACAAUUUGGCAGUAUACAUAUAUUAAUUACUGUAUUUGACAAAGGAAGAUUAAAUUAGAAUGUGAAGCCUGGUUCAAUGAAACAAAAGAUGAGUGCAGCAUUUCAGUAUAUAUGAUAAAAAUAAAGGGAAUUGACAUGUCACAUAUCGAAUGAAUGAAAAUUUAAUUGUUGAAAUUUACACAGAAACAAAUUUAUACCAAAGAACCCUAUUGGACACUACAUACCUUAAAAUAAAGGAAAUAUAGGUUAUUUUAGAUGAUUAAAUUGGAAUGAUGUCAUUUAAAAGUAGUAUCGAAGCAUUUGGAAUGAAUGGGACAAGCAACAGAGAUUGCUUCAUAAUAGCACAUAAUUUUUAAGGCCAAGGUACAUUUGACCUCUGAGAUGAUUUUGUGUGUAUAUGUAUGGGUCAUAAUCAUUUGGUUACUCAGUUGGAUUGUUUUUGAUGCCCCCAAAUGAAGCACAAAUGUUAAUUUACCAGUUGUUCAUGACAGUUUUCUUAAACAUUGCUCUCUUCACAGUGUGGUGUAAAGUCCUUGUUUGAAGCAUGCAUGUUCCUUCUGGGGUGCUUGUUCAAGCCGACUUUAUUUUGCUUCCCUAUUGCUUCCUUCCAAUUAGAAGUGCUGCAAACUUUACAGCAGCUUCCUUUCUUUGCUGGGCACUACCUAGUUAUCAGAAGUUGUAUAAAAAUCUUAAAGAGGCACCUUUCAUUUAGCAGUGAGAGUCACAGUUAAAUGGCAUUAGGUGGCUCUAUUGUUUUUAAAGCUUAUAUAAUUGUUCAGCAUCACUUUUAUACAAACUUACACAAAUAUAAACAUGUUUUCAUGACUUACACUUUCACCUGAAUAUCCUGGGCUGGAUUAACCUUUGUUGUCAUUGUGACCAACAUGCAGGCCAUGCGAGCACUGUCCUAUCCCCUCGCCAAUUAGCUGAAAUAAAUGUUCAACAUUUGAAAAAUAAAAGAGGUGGGGGGACCUUGGAUCCUGGCUGUGCUAACAUCUCCACAGUUACCUCUGGGCACGUUCAUUCAGGCAGCCAGUCUUUUUUAUCUGUUCAUUUUACUCUCAUGAAGCUGGUCUCUGGGCUCCACACUGAGGGGGAGAUAAAAAACAAUAAAACAUGGUUCCACUUUCAAGGUGAUCUGGAAGGACUAUAGAGAAUAUAAGCAGAAAAUAAUUAGGAGCACAAGAGAGGGAUGGUUAAAAUCUUUUGGAGUUGGCAUAGUGACUUUUUUCUUUCCUCCCGGUGGGAUUGUAAUCAAGAGACCCUCCUGAAAGAGGUAGACUUUCAGACAAGCCUAGAAAGAUGGGGAUGAUUUAAUUGAUUUGGUUUUCUCACCUUCAGAGAUCCACAGAAACCUAUGGAAUACUUGUUUUUCUUCCUGUGAAAUUCUGCAUGUGGCUGAAGCCCUGUGGACAGAAAGACAGUGGAGGAAAGUAGCCCUUAGCUGAGCAUGUGCCUCCCGACUACAGAUCCCUUAAUAAGAUGGCAACCCUGGGCUGGGGUUGUGACUCAGCGGUAGAGCACCUGCCUAGCAUAUUCGGGGUCUUAGGUUCCAUCCUCAGCACCACAUAUGAAUAGAUAAAAUAAAGGUAUUGUGUCUAACUACAACUAAAAAAAAAUAUUUUUAAAAAGAUGGCAAACCUUUCUCCCCUCCUAAUUCUAUGCCUGCCAUCUUUCAAAGGCAUAUCAUUUUGUCAAAAAUGUUCACUAACUCCAUAAACUUACAGAAUUAUAUUAAAACAAUGUUUUUCAGAUUGAAUUUUAGCCUGAGGGAUUCUCUUAACAUCACCGGGGUUUUGAUGUCUGUUUCCGCAGGAUGAAUUCCAAACUUACUCUUCGAAAAAGGUAGUGUGGAUCCACCUGUCAACAUUAAGCAGCACAUUUGGUCUUACCCCUGAUCACCCUCUCAUUACAGAUGAGGAGUUUAUCAUAAAUAGAGCCAUCAGAAAGCCAGACCUAAAGGUAAGUAAAGUUAUGGCUAUGGCUGAUGCCAGAGAAAUUUAACCUUCCCCCUUCCCAUAUAUAAGGUUAAACUUGUCCAUCACUGUACUAAUUCUCAAUCAACAGGAUAGGACCUUGUAAAGGACGUGCACCUGAAACCACACAGAGCUCAGUUCAAAUCUGAGCUUCAGCUUCUAAGCAGUGCAAUCUUGUAUAAAUUUCUUAACUCUGUUGAACCUCAGGUUUCCUAACUAUAAAAGAGUAAUGAUGCCUAUCUCUAAUAUUAAUUGAUAAAAUUUAACAAAGAUCAAUAUAAUGCCGGGUACAUAGUGGGUGCUCAACACAUGUCAGCUAUGAAAAGCAUUGGUCCCUGUUUGAUAAUGUGUAUAAUAGAGUUAAUCUUACAGUAAAGGUAAUCAUCCACGAGUAUUCCAUGGAGUUUGCUCAUAUCUGCAAAAUGACCUUAUUUUUAAUUGUGUCAUUCAAAUGGACAUGGGUUACUCCCUUUUUGCUUUAGUUGUGACUAGCUAACAUUCAUAUUUAAAAUGCAUUUUGUAAGAAUCUUUUAUAUUUCUAUACACUUAGCUGUUUAAAUUAGUUUUAUGAGCUCAAGUGUAAUUUUUUUAAAUAAUAAAAAAUCAAUUACUGAGGAGUUUCUCUGUUGCCAAUUGUUCCCACUCAGUUGUGUUGACUGCCAAAAUAAACAAAACCAAGAGGUCAGGCACCCUCCAGGGACAGAUUGCCUCACCUCAGGUGGCCAUUCACCUGGAGAAGUCCUGGGCCUCAGAGCUUUGUUGCCUGAAAUUCUAGCCUGUUUAGUUGUAUUAAUAAAUAAGGAAAAAGACAAUGAAGACAUUCUCAAAUAAACAAACAAUGUGAGGAAGGACAGAGGUCUUGAAAUGAAGUUUAGAUACGCCAGCAUGAAGUCUUCAUUUAUCAGCUUAGCACGGGGGAGUUUGGCUGGUUACUGCCUCCCUGAGGCUUGAGUUUCUUAUUUAUAAAAUAAGAGUCAAAAUCCCUUCUCUGCCUGUUUCUCAGGGCUGUGAGCCUAAAUGUGAAAAUGGAUAUUAAGUUGAUCUCUGAAUUACAACAGACUAUAUUCUUAGGAAGGUUUAAAACUUUCACUAAAGUCAGAGGAAAUGUCAUGGGCUCAGCCAUGAUGACACGAUGGGAACUUUAAUGGGGUAUGUGGAGACUGCAGUAAAGAACUAUGUCAGGUUUUCAAAUGCAGGUUAAGAGGAGACUAUAAGGACCAUUUUGUAGGAUUGCAGGUAAAACUGAAAUCCAGUACUUCACCUGAUAGGGGUACACUGUUACAUAUUCCAACAAGAAAUGAAGAGUGAGAAUUGUGGGAAGAGGACAUUUUCCAGAUUACUGAGCAGAAAAGUGAAAUUCACCCCACAAUAGAUACUUGAUCUCCUAGCUACUGUUUUCUAGUUUGAAGUUUCAGGAAAUGGGCAAAUAAAUUUACGCCUUGCAAAUGUUAUACUUGACAUCGAUUACUAGUUUCCAGAAGCUCUGAGGGUGAUGGCGGAAGCAGAUAAACUCUAGGCAGAGGUGCUUCCUGCUAGGGGGAAUCUCAGAGGCGCUUACAAGGUCUACAGUGGAGUAGUUCUUCUCACUCUCUGAGGAGUGACUUCAGAAAUUGUCAGAAGAAAAUGGAAUCUGUUUUCUCACUUGAGGUGAAACUCACCAGGAACCUGUGUUCCUCAUUGUUGCUGCCUUCAUCUGUAGAAGUUUUGUGUCUAUUAUGUUUUAUAAAUUUCUCAGUCUGUGGCUUCACAGCCUCUUGGUGCAGGUUCUCUAACUGAGGCAGGGGACCUCACAUUCCACCAGUGUGUCCUUUAACAUUUUUCUAACACAAUUUUCAAAUAUAUGGAAUUUAAAAAGUAGGCAACUCUUAAUCUAUACAUCUUGAACCCCAAACUUAAGGGAUUUUUAGAUUUUCUUUUGCGACUAACUUGAGUCUUCUAUCCUUUACAAGACUGAGUUUUGAAAACAUGUGCGCUGGAGCUAAGAUUCAAGCCUUGUGAGUGACAUAAUCACAGUGAACAUUAGGUACAAAGCAAAAAUGAAAUUAGUGUCUGCCUUAUCACAGGAUGAUAAGCUCUAAAUUCUCAGAAAUAGUAGCCAUAAUUAGUAACACUAUUUCAAAACUGCAGGGAAUACCAAAAAGGAAACCAAGUUAUGAGGCAAGAAACCUGAGGGUCCAACAUGGACCAUGGUAGCUAACAUGCCUCAGGCUGAUCACUUUUCAAAUACUCUUUUUCCCUUUCAAUUUGCAGUGUAUGUGAAAAGUAUCAUCCCCAAUGACAAUAGGGUAUGUUCUGAAAUAAUUCAUUUUGCAACCAAUCUCAUUGAAGUACAUUUCAUUCUGUAAAAUUUAAAAAUAUGGCAUCUAACACUCUUGGUAACUAUCAAAUAUGUGUGUGUUUGUACUUAUUGAGUAGGAUUACCAUUCAUGUGAGGUAACCUAGGUCUUAGACCUUAGAGACUUAAACUCUAGUUCUAGUUGAGAUGUGGUUUAACAAAGCAUUCAUUUGCUUAUUUAAUAAAAAAAAUGUUUUGAGCAAUUAUUAUGUACCAGCUAUAUGAUCAUUUCAGUCUUUAACUACUCUGAAGAAUCACCUCAGAAAUUGUUAGAAGAAAAUGGAAUCCAUACAUACAUACAGAAUUUAGAGAAAGAAACUGAAAAAGAACUUAGGGAAAUUUAGUAGAAGUUCUCAAGGACACAAAUAUCAGAGUUGCCACAAAAGAAAGUCUUGAAUACUGUUCUUCAACCUUGGCUGUACGUUGGAAUUACCUGCCCCAGGUACACUGCAGACAAACUAAAUUAGAAUCUCUUGUUAUGGGACCCAGACAACAGCAAUUUUUCAAGUUCCUCAGAAGCUUCAAACAAGGAACCUGAGGUUAUAACCACAUCAUAUCAAUCAUAUGGCUUCACAUCAAUAUGGAAGUUCCACUGUUUUCUCUCUGUGAUUGGCGAGCUCACCAGUUCAUGGGAAUUCAGAUUCAAACCUAAAGUUUCUUACACAAAUCUAAAGUAUGAAAGAACAAUAGUGAUAAGCAUUAAUCCUCCUUUUUUUCCAUUACCAACACCCUCAAAGCCUCAUUUUCUGGAGCAUAUUUUCUUUCAAUAACUUCCUCUUUCCCCUUUAGUAUCUGCUGCCAGCCUAAUCUUCUUUAGUGCCACUUCUUUAGGUUACUGCACAAAUCUAUUGCCUGUGAGAGAAGGUUCCAGAUACCUCAUCCUAGCCUUGAAGGCUGCUCUUAAUGUAGUCUUUAUUCUGCAGUUGAAUAGUGCUACCUUCUUGCCUCCUCCCACUCAACUAUUUGUGCACAAUUUCUUUGAAAUUCUCUCUUCACUUCUCAUCUGAGCAAAAUCUUUCCAACCCUUCACUGCUGCAGUUCAGAUGUCAUCUCUUCCAUGGGCCCUCUGUCAUCUGCCCUCUCUAUAUUUCUACAACAUUUUAAGAAUAUUUUUAAACUUAAAAUAUUUUCAUUUCUUUGACAUACACAUACUAGACUAUAUGGCAUAGUUUUCUUUUGGGAAAUGUAUUUUGUUUCCUUAUUAGGAUAUAAGGUAAUGGAAUGUAAAGAUUGAGAUUUUGUUAUUCAUAUAUUUAUCUGUAUAGUAGGCCUGUGAUACAUGUUGAUUGAUGAUUUCUAAUAAAAAUGACAUUUGUGGAGCAGGAAAGAAUAGGAUAAGUUUUAGAAAAGAAAAUCUUAGUUCUAAGUAUUUAAGUUCUAUCUUUGCUUCUUUAUAAAUGCUUCUUUAGACACUGAAUUGCUGCAUAUUCACCCAAUCUACAAACUGGAGAUUUUCUUAAUACAUUUUUCUUGCAGGUGAGAUGCAUAAAGGUGCAGAAAAUGAGAUACGUUUGGAAUAACUUAGAAGGACAGUUCCAAAAAGUUGGGUAAGUUGUUUUGGCAAGUGCAUUGAAAGAAGAAAAAUGUUAUCUCAAAAAUGUUAUUGCUAAAUACAUCCUUCUCAUUAUUAUUUUAGCUCGUU
RNAcentral lists this long non-coding RNA (58618 nucleotides) under Marmota monax (woodchuck). Lineage: Eukaryota; Metazoa; Chordata; Mammalia; Rodentia; Sciuridae. The record is from RNAcentral.